RNAcentral lists this long non-coding RNA (60470 nucleotides) under Solanum tuberosum (potato). RNAcentral's name for it is "long non-coding RNA (STUB_LNC002584)". The record is from RNAcentral. Lineage: Eukaryota; Viridiplantae; Streptophyta; Magnoliopsida; Solanales; Solanaceae.
UCGCCAAAUUAAGAGAUACAGGAUGCAUUGUUGGCUCAACCAUUGGUGCAGCUCCUCAUCAAUUUUGUCUAGGUCUCUCUCUCUCUACUCUCGAACACAAUCACUGCUCUGUGAGUUGUCUGGAUGAACAGUUUACGUGGAUUUUUUUAGUUCUUCCCAUGUUUUCCUAGAAAGAUCUCCUCACUCUGUCCUGAUAAUAAAAGUUACUCUGCUCCACCAUUAACUUAACUGAUUAUCCCUUUAUAUUCUUAUUUUGAUGUCUUUGAUCAGGUUUGGAAAAAGUGUCAAAGGGAUUGAACAUUGGCAUUGAAGGUAACCAUUUCGUGGACUGAAACUAUUUUCUUUAUAUCUUAAGCAUUCUAUAAUGCGUGGCUAAGCUAUAACCUUAUAGGCAUGCAUGUUGGUGAAAAGAGAAAACUCACUAUAUACAAAUCAUUGCUGAAAUGCUCUUUUUUAAAACUUUGUUGUGAUUCCAACAAUUAAACAUUUCUCUGCUCUCGUUCCUUUUACACGGAAUAUGUUCAUUUUAAUAGUUUUUAGAAAUUAUAGGUAUAAAUUAUUAUUUUUUUAAAAAAAAUUAAAUACUUUUUACAAAAUCUAUGGUUAAACGUAUGGUGAAACUUUACCCAAAAAUAACUUGUCAAAAAUAUUUGGUAAAAAAGUAGACUAAUUUUUGUGAUGUGACUUGUGUAAUAGAGUGAAUCUAGGCCAUUAGGGUCUCUUCAUCUUAUUCUACAAAAAAGAAAGAAGUGAUACAAUGACAAGUUUUUUAUUUAUAUUGUAUAUGCAACUAUUUUGAGCUUAAUUUUAGUAAUCUAAACCACUAUAUAAAACAAGAUAUCUAUCAAAUGCAAAAACUAAGUUUUUAGAGAUUGUAGGCCACACUUCUGAUUGUAUAAAUGACAACAUUAACACUACCAUCUUGGAAAUUCACUAUCAGCUUGGAUAAGUUUCCAAGAUUCAACUUGGAAAAAGCCGUGUGCAACCACGGCUUUUUCAUGAUGGCUCCCAACCAUUGGGAUCCAUCUACUAAAACCUUUUCUCGUCCUCUACGAUUAGAUGAUUCCAUCAGAUCAGCUCUCACUUUCAUUUCACAGCCUCCAGGAGAGGAUCAUCUUGUCAUUACGGUUUAUGGUGCAACUAUUCUUUCCUCUAAGGAUGAGGGAGCCAUUCAGGUAUGUUCUGUCUCCAUCUCCUCACAAAAAAAAAAAAAAGAACCUGAUGACUUGUUUUCUAUGUAUGUAUAGUCUCAGGUGAAGAGAAUGCUGAGACUCUCUGAUAAGGAUGAACAAGAUGUCACAUAUUUUCAUAAGCUUCAUCCACAUGCUGAGGCCAAAGGAUUUGGUCGGUUGUUUCGAUCACCAACCUUAUUUGAAGAUGUGGCCAAGUCUCUUCUUCUUCGCUUUUGCCCGUAAGUUAAUCAUAUAUUAUAUACAAGCAAUUUGUAAAACUCAAACUUUGAAGUAAACUAAGAUAUAUAGAUUAAAUGAAUCAGGUGGAAGACAUCUUUGGAUCUGGCAAAGGCUCUUUGUGAUGUACAACUGAAAAAAGUCAGAAUGUCGAAAAGAAAGAGAGCAAAUAUUGGAGACUUCCUGAGCCCGAGAGAAUUAGCAAGUUUUAGAGAGGAAGAGCUAAACGACAAAGGGAAAUUUGGAUAUAGAGCAGGGGACUUGAUUAAGUUGGCUAAACAAGUUGCUAAUGGAAAAAUUAAGUUUGAUAGUGCUGAUGAAGGGCACUACUCUAAGUUGAAGAUAAAUGGUGCUGGUCCUUUUACCACUAAUACUAUCAUGAUGUGUAUUGGACACUAUCAUAAUAUUCCAAUUGAUACUGAAACGUUGCGUCAUAUGAAAGAGGUAACAAACUUGUUUCUCUGCAUAUCAUCAAAAAUAACUAACAUUACACAUGGAUCAUUUGCUGAUGGAGGUAAUAGUAUUUCUUAAGUCCUCUUAUGUAUAUUUACAUUUUACUUGUCAUGAUUUCAGUUUCAUGGACUUAAUAUGAGAAAGCGUAAAAAGGGACCAAUUAGUGUGGAAACAAAAGCGAAAAUACAAGAAUUCUACAAGAUUUAUCAUCCAUUUGAGUCUCUGGCUUACUGGUAAGUUACGUUGGGGAUAUCCAUUAUUUUCAUUGAUUAGUAUGUAAUCAUACACUUGAUUUGUUGGUCUUUAGGUUUGAACUUGCCAACUCUUAUGAAAUAAAACUUGGCAAGACAUUAGGUGAGUUAUUACCAUCAGAAUAUCAUCAUGCCACCGGAAGCAAGAAAUGUUAAGGUACGUUAACAUUAUUAAUGUGUGUCCUAUACUUUUUAGCAGUUUCAAAUUUGAAUUAGCAGUAAUUAGCCUAGGUAUCAAUCAUUUAGAAGCCUAGACAUAUAUAGUUGUUACUGCUUUUAUUUUGAAGUAAGUUUUAUAAUAUGUUAAUCGUGUGACUCUAUAUGUUUAUUGGUCUUAAUUAAUUCUUUCUAUGGCUUUGAGCAGAUGUGAUGUGAUGUGAUGUGUGAUGUGUGAUGGAUAGGAUAUUGGAUUGAAAGAAAGAAAAAAACUUCCCUUUCUUUUUCUUCUUUAUUUUGGUUUUAUCCCUCCGAUGAAUUUCGGCUAUGACCAAUGAAUGUUAACGGAGUAUUAGAUUUUGAAAUUGAUGAUCAUGUAUAUAUAGGGUUGAUUAACAACUUUGUUUUUGUUUUUGUUUUUUGUGCGGACUUCACUAUAUCACAUGAUUUCAACUUGAAUCCAUGUUUCUGUCUGUUUGAAAGACUUACAACAGAUUUUUUGCUUAUUGAUCAAUAGAAAAGAAAAAAAAAGGGGUCUGGGUUGGCGCCCCAUAUGUAGAUCUAGCUAACUUGACUUGAGUCACAAGAUAAAAGUAUAUAUACUUUCUUUGAAAUAUUCAAAAUAAUAUGUACCGUAUAAUUUCCAAAAGAAUCUUUGCAGCUAAAAGUAUCCCCCCUUAAAAAGAUUUUAAGGGACAUUUGAAUCUUUAAUAUUGCCAAUGCAUACAUUAAAAUCAUUUGCAUUAUUAAUAUCAUUAGUAAUACACAAUAGAAUGCAAGUAUUAGUUAUAUAUGAUGUUUUGUAAGGCGGAGGCAUGAGGUAAGAUGUUUUACUUAGCACACGGCGUAGAGUAAGCCCCAUGAAUAUUUUAAUUUUAAUUUGUGAUUUAGUAAAAUAAUAUAAUAACACAAAAUUAUAAAAAUACAUCAAUAGUUUGAAAUAAUUAAUGAAACUCAUAGAAAUUAAAACUUCUAACAUUAUUUUACAUGUAAUGAUAUAAAAAUUAUUAUGAGAUGUUAAUCAAUUUUAAUAUCUCUUUCAAAAAAAAUUUAUUAUUUCUAAUAAUUUAUUACUAUAAUACUAUGCAAUUUAUCUUCCUAAAAGAUAUUAGUAAUCAAUAAAAAUAAAACUACUUUUAAAUAGAGAAAUAGUAAAAUAUGAUCAUUUUGAGACACAUUUAUGUUUCUUGAAUAUAAGCUAUAUAUUUUUAUAAAUACCCUCACAUUCAAAGAUGUGCAGUUGCAUUGAUCGAUUUGGACACAACUUCUCCUUUAUGCCAAAAUAUAAGCUAUGACCAAAUUUUAAUCCGACAAACUACCUAAAAUUUAUCUAAACAAUUUUUGAUGGAGCCAUCAAAUUUCAAGUCAUAUAUAUCAUAAAAUUCAUGAUCACCUAAACUAUGACCAAAUUUGAAAAAUAACUAUUUUAAACAUAAUUAAAGAUUAAAAUAACAUGAUUCAGAUUUUUAUUCUCUUUUAAUAACUAUCCCAUGAGCACAAAACAUACCGUUCUUUUCUUUGACUAAGACACACAACUAAUAAACCUCCUUACAACAAAUUGUACUCUCAAUUAAUACAUCUGAGAAUUCAAGAAAUUAUGUUUCUCCCUUUUAAAUCAGUAAUAACCUUUAAUAUCUCUUUUCAUUAAUUAAUUAAGCAUUACUAGCAUCUCAAGGUAAAUUUCUAUUCAAAAAAAAUUCACCACUAAUAUUCACUUAAGACAAUUUUUAAUUUAUGUAUGGAACUUCCACUUUUCUUAGUCAGAGUAUGGGCUUGGGCUUCGGUUCGGGACUCGUAUAUAACCUCUCACAUGUAUAGACAUAAAUAAUUUUUAAUAAUUUCAAAUAAAUAGAGUACCGUUACUAUAACUAUUUAUUAAUAUAAAAUCAUAAUCCAUAUGAUGUAAUUAAACAUUAAUCACAUAAGAGAAAAGAGUAAAAUAAUAUUCAUGCAAUACAUUCUUUAAAAAAGAAUUUUGAAUCAAGAAAAUCGUGGAAGACACUGCCACCAAUUCAAAAUGCAUGUAUAUUAUUUUUUAUUUUUUUUAAUAAAUGAAUUUGUCUAAGUAAAUGAAGACAUGAAUAAGGACUCAACGUGUCAGAAAUUAUCCUCAGCAAAAUAAAGAGACCUAGCCGCCACUUUAGUAACUGGCCAAACUAUAACCAUUGCACUUUAAUUGCUUUUAUUUUAAUAUAUUAAUAUACUAGUAAAAUUAUCCGCGCCUUGCGCAGAAAUUUAAUAUUACGAAAUUUAUAAAAUAAUACUUAAAAUUUAUCAGUCAUUAAAAUUAAAACACAAGAUUAUCUUACAUACAAGAUUACGUAGUAACGAACAUUAAUAAUGUAAAGAAAAUGAUAAUUAUAACAUCUUAUCAUUUAUCCUUUGAUCAAUCAUCUUUAAUUUGAUUUUAUAAUUUAUCCUUGAACUCAUGUCAAAAAUUUAUUAAGGGCCUGUUUGGAAGGACACCCUGGUAAUUGGAUUUGGUGUAAUUGGGUGUAAUUACAUUGUUUGUCCUGUUUGGUUGGACAUGUAAUUACUUGGUCAGCAGGUAAUUGGUGUAAUUGACAUGGGGUAAUUACACUCUACAAUUCACAGACAGAGACUGUGAAUUGCUGGUAAUUACAUGGUGUAAUUAUCAUCUGAUUACUUUUUAAUUAUUAUUUUUUUAGUUUUUUUAAUUUUUUUACUUCUAUCAUUUUAAGUUCUUUUUUUAUUUUUAUUAUUCUAAUUUUUUUUAAAUUUUAUUUUUUAUUUUAUAUUACUAUAUUUCAUUUUCUUCUUGUUCUCAACCUUACUUUACAUGAUUCUAUGCAAUUUUUUCGUAUUAUCUAUUUCCUUAUGCCAUACUUAUUUUCUCAUUAGCAUAAUUUUAUUAGUAUUCUAAUUUUUAAAUUAAAUAGAAUUUAUUGUUAAGUAAGGUUAUAGACUUACAUUUUCUUUUUAAGAAAAAAAUAAAAAUAAAUCAUAUUUAUGCAUCCUAUGUUGAAAUUUGCUAUAAGAGUAUCAUGUUAAAUUUUUUGUUUUGAAUUUAUAACUUAUGUUAUUUUUUCAGUUUCAUUUGUUUUAGUAAUAUUGAAUUCACAUUGCACGUCAUUUUUUAAUAAACUUGAUAGAUUAUCUUUUUGUCAAAUAUUUAAUAAUUUAUGACAUUUUAUUUAUAUAUUAAUUUUUUUAUCAAACAUCCAUUUCACAAUAUUCGUAGAAACUUCAUACUUUUAGUUUUUACGAUCAAUUCAAUUGAAAUUUAUUAAUUUGAAAAAAUAUAAAUCAAUUAUUUUUUCAUAAUAUAGGCUAAAGAAUAUAUGUUUAUUAAUUAAUAUAUUUUUAAAAAGGAUAUAUAUCUUAAAUAUUUAAUUUAAUGUUAUUUAUAAAGUUUCUUAUUUGUCUAGUAUAAAUUUUAAAUAAUUAAAUUUUAUUUUUAAAAUUUAAUAUAAUUUUAUGAUUGCAAUUGUGCAUAAAAAAAAACAUGUGUAAUUACGCCGUGGCAUCCAAAAAUGACAUGUGUAAUUACAGUGUAAUUUGGCAACCAAACAAGUCAGUGUAAUUACUAGACUGGUAAUUACUACCCUAGUAAUUACACCAAUUCCAAUUACCAAGUGGCUUUCCAAACAGACCCUUACUCUUAUCAUAUUUUCCUAGUUCACUUCGCACAUCAAGGUGCGAUAAAGUUUUUAAGGUUUUAUGUCCUUACAACGGCAUACCAAAUUUGAAUUUUGUCUUCAAGAGAUGGUAGUACAUAUCUUUAAAGAAUUGUUUUAUUGUACCUUCAACAAUUUCAGUAGAGAAAACUUACGUGAAUACUCAAUUAACGUGUGUUAUUUAAUUUGUACUAACAAAUACUUAUAACUUUUUGCAAAAACAUAAACAACAAAGUUCAAAACAUGUACUAAAAAAAUAAUUAAUAACAUAAACAUAAAUUAAUGGUUGUAAAAACACAUACCAGGAUCUGUAACAAUAGAAUGAAACAGAACGGAAAAAAUCAAGUCCACUGAAUGCACAGUGUCCCCUUAAGGAAAUUAUUCCUCUUUAGUACCCGAGGUUUAAAGGAAUAGAUCCUUUCAAGGUAGAAUGAUUCUAUUCACAAGUGUAUUGACACAAAAACAAUGGUGUUAGUGAGUCACUCAACAUGAGCAAAUUAAAAUACAUGAAUAUUUAAUUGCGCAAAAAAAAAAAAAAAGAAGUUCAGGAUUUUCAUGGUUUGAAUGAGAAGAAAUUCCUCUAUAUAUAGACAACAAAUGGUAGUGUGAACAAAUGCUUAUUGUGGCUUAUCGGAAAUGUCACAACUCUUUGGAAAAGUUACAACCCUUUGAAAAAGUCACAACCCUUUAUAAAAAUCGCAUCUCUUCGUAAAAGUCACAACUUUUCAUGCAAGGGUAAAAUAUAGUUUUGAAAAUAAAUAAAUUAAAAGAGAAUCCUAAUUUAUGAUGGCGCCACGUAGACGGGCCUAAGGUUUUCUUAUAUAUAUAUAUAUAUGAUUUUAUAUUUAAGCAAGUAAUAAAGAAUAGUGGGCUAAACAAGAUUGCAAUAAAUUAAAGACGAAAUGGUCUGGUGGACCCUUGUAUUUGUAUGUGUUUGUAUUGUGAACUCUUCUACUUACUCAUUUGUCAUCUGAACCCCUGAACUCAUCAAAACGCAAUAUUUUAAACACAUUUUUUGACUUGACAUCCUAUGUGGCAGUUACUACUAAAGAGCGUGUGACACACACCUAUUAGAAGCGUGAGACCCUUGGAAAAGUGUCUGACAGUCACAUUAGGGCUUUGUAAAGCCAUCAUCUUCCUAUUUGCAUCUAACACCAUUGUUGGACAAAAUUUGAGGUUUUCUUGGCCUCUUUUCCGAUCUUUUUCCCAAAAAUUUCUUCUCUAUCGUUUCUUGUUAUUAUACGGCUCUCUUUUUUCUAAUGAAAAACACCAUGGAAGGCAUAACACUACUACCGAAAUAUCUUACACUAACAUUAGGCACAAAAAUGCAAAAUCCCCAAAGAAUUUCAACAAAGUCAAUGUAAUUGAUUAAAAUCCCAAAAUCAAACAAAGACACAAAUAAAGAUCAAAUCCAAACUAAAAAACAAAUAAAUUCAAAAAUAAAUUGGAAAACCUACCUAGAUAAGUUGAAAAUCAAACAAAAAAACUCAAAUAAUUUUUGACAUUGACCCCUUGUUUCAGUUCCAAACCAAACCCAAACUUAUUGCCUUCUUCUCGUCCUCCUCACCUUCUCCGACCAAACUACCUUCGUUCUCACCAUUUCCGACAAGCUUCAACCAACAACUAUAAAUGAGAACCAACAACAACAACAACAACAACAAAAACCCCAAACUAACUCCGCCAAUAAGUCUAGACUUUCACAACGCCGCCAGUUGUGAACAACUAGAAACAAUCAGACCACCCAAUAGACCCCCACUUUUCCUUAGCGCCACCGGUCACCACCAAAACCCCAAUCCAACAUAACCCAAAAUCAACUCUGAACUCCAACGAAAUUGUGAACAACCAGAAAUCGUGCCAACAUUUUUUACUUCAAUGGAAAGAGUAGAAGAGGUUGGAAAAAGGAAAAGGGUAAGGAAGAUAAGAAAAAGUUGAAAUGAGAUUGUGGGGAUGGAGAUGCAGAUGGCAAUGGCAAAGAGAAAUAAAAAUUGGAAAGAGAAAGUGUAGGUAUAUUAAUCAAAUAUAAUAAAAGGAAAAAUGACAUGGAGUGACCAUAUAUACAUGUGUCAUUUUAUAAUUAUUUUUUAAAAUUAUGUGGCAGGCGUUUGUGAUACACACAGUUGAGUGGUAAAAAACGUGUUUAAAAUAUUGCGUUUUGAUGAGUUCAGGGGUUCAGAUGACAAAUGAGUUAGUAGAAGGGUUCACAAUACAAACACAUACAAGUACAAGGGUCUACCAGACCAUUUCGCCUAAAUUAAAACUAUAACAUCUAGUUUGUAACUUGUGACCCCGCCACUACAAAUUUAAAAUAGUUCAUUGAUCAACCAAUUUUUUUUAAUCCUUUAUUGCAAACAAAACAGUGGAUUCAAAACGCUUGGCGGCUCCACACCGAUGCUCUAAUUGCAUCCAACAUAAGAAUGUAAAUUAUGAACCUUAUAUGUAAUUAAACAUACAUUUCAUCUAUGUAAUCUAUUUAGAUGCAAACAAGACUAUGAUAUCAAUUGUUAGAAAACUAUAUGCAUAGCGGAAGUAUAUCAAAAUCUUACAACUUACAUGAAUAAUAGAUAAUCAAUAAUGUUUAUGCUAGAAUACAUACAAUUAUGCUAAACACUUAAACUUUAUGAAAUUGAUUCAAGAAUUACCUCUUGAAGUAUGAAUAGAUACCUUCAAACGAAUCCACAAGUUUGACAGACGUUCAAGCGAAUCCACAAGUUAUACAGAGCGAUCUUCUACAGUAAUCCCAAAUUCACAUCCAAACCCUCUCAAUACUUGGGUGGCCAAGUAUCAUAUAGAAACUUAUACACUUUCUAGGUUAGAAGAAUCCCUACUUAUAGAGAUUUCUUUCCGGUCCAAAGAGGAAAACAAAAAGACACGUUCUUUUCAAGAACUAAAAAGUCACAUUCUUUUGUUCCUUUUUUCGAGAAAAUAAGAUUCCGAACUCUAGUUAAAUAUGAGCACUAUAUUGACCACACAAUUAAUUACUGAGACUUCCUAUUAUGGAAAUAAUUUCAAAUAAUUAAUUUUAAUUAUACUUACCCUAAUAAAUUACAAAUCAUUUCACUAAAAAUUCGUAAUUACACUCCUCUAUUUAUAUUUUCAAAAUUGCCCAUUAAACACUUAUGUAAUUCCACAUGUUAAGAUUUCAAAUACUAAUCAAUAAAUUAAUUAAUUACUGACAAAAUUAAUUCAAUGAUUAAUUUUCUUUUGGGCACUGUUUAACUUAUUUUAUGUGUCAGAUUCAUAAAUCUACUUACAAGGUUUGACACGAUGAAAACUUAUAAGCUUCUCAAAAAGGCAUAUCAUUAAUCUCUAUAUCGAGACAUGAAUUCCAUCAACUAACUUAUUGUUAUUGUUUCACCAAUAUAUAUUAUUAUCAUCCAAUCAACCAGACAUAUUGAUCCAUCUCAGAAUCUCACAUUUUAAUAAAUCAAAACGAUAAUUAAUAUAUACAGAUCAUAAUAGUUAUAUCAGGAUUAAGAAUAUAAGUAUAUUUAAUAGUUUAGAGAAUAUGCUUUUGUCAGUCUAAAAAUAUAUUAACAAAGUAGAUUAUAAAUAUUAUUUUUGAUCUAUAAAUAAAAUAAAAUUAUAUAUAUAUAUAUAUAUAUUAUGUCGGUUUGGUUUGGGUUCGAUUUGACUUUUUUUCUUUUUAUAUCAAACCAAACCAAGAGUGGUCGUUUUUUUUUUCAACCGCCAAACCAACCAAACCACAAAUCGUUUUUUUUUUCGAUUUGAUUUGGUUCGUCAGUUCGAUUUGACUUUACGGUUUAACUUGUACACCCCUAAAUAAAUGGAGAGGAUAAACAACAUGUAUGAUAAGAAAACUGAUGAAGAAGAAUAGUCAGUGUAACUGCAAUCAAUGAUUCCAUGUUUGGACAAUUUGAUUGAAUGCCAAACAUUAGUAACUUGUAGAUUUACAAUGGAGAAUUUUCUUGAAAAACUUAACAGGUGCAAAUUGUUACUUUUUUUUUUAUUGAAUUUUAUCCUUUAACAGAAAGAAAAGAAAAAAGAAAAAAGAAAAGGGACAUGUACCAAAAGAUAAUGAAUGCAACAUCUCUUGAUUUGACAACUUGCCAAUUGGGUGUUUCGGGAGACAUAAGCAGGCACUGCAUGAAAUGAUAUGAUAGUCAAGUCACAAUUAAUUACACCUAAUUCCAAUCUCCAACUUUUCCACUUUCUCAUUUUUUUUAAACUUCAAAUUGUAUUUACAAAAACAAUUGUUUUUUUCUCUCUAAAAUUACGUCUCAACCCAAAUAUAUUUCAACUUUUAACUUUUUCAAAGCCUCAUUUUCAAAAUUUGUCAUGAAAUUACAUUAACCUUUCUGAAUCAAUACUCCAUAAAUUUAUAAAUCUCUAAGAUUAUAUUUUUUUCUCAUUCCGACUUGAUUAAUAUUAUAAAUUAAUAAUUCUUUAGAAUUACAAAUGUAUCUAAGACUAUUUAAUGAAAUGUGAUUUUAAUGUUUUUUGUUUUUUUUGUUAAAAUUUUAAUCUAGUUGAAGCUCAUUUCUAACUUUUCUUAUAACAUUCAAAAGUUUUGAUAUUGUCUUCUCGAACUGCACCUGUUCGCAACAAUAUUUCAUAGCGUUGAAAAGUGAAAAUUAACUACAAGAAAAUUUUAAAAAAAAAUGUGAUUUUUAUUGAUGAAUCUGUGAGUACAAUUUUGUUGUUCUCUUGAUUUAUCUCUCCUAAACUUUUCCGUGAUUCGAGGGCCUUCAGUAGCAUAUUUCUCGAAUGUAGGAUGAUGUAGACCUCCUUGAGAUGUGUUUGAUCUCCAGGAACGUUGGGAAGCACUUCGUCGUUUCAAGUCGAUCUCCAAGAAGAACUUUGUUUACCACUUUUUCGAAUAACUAUGUAAUCGAUGUUGUAACUUUCUCCAAUCCUUGCAGAAUACUUAUUGAAGAGUUUUCCUAGAAUUCUACUGAGAAUGUCAUGUCUAUCCCCUAUUUAUAAUUGGCUUAAGUCAUCAACAACUACUUAAAGUUGUCCGCAUAAUUCACUUAGACACCUGAAUUCAGGCUUGUACCUAUUGAACACCUCUACCUGUCUAAAUUCUAACCAUUUGAGCAUUUUUUGCCUACAUGGCAUUUUGAGUGUGAUUCACGUAUACUGAGCGCGUGAAAUGUGAAAAUAUUUAAUUAGACUUUUUUUUUAUUUUUUUUAUUUUAUCUUUCUUCUUCUUUGUGGUUGCUGCCACUACUCCUCAACCAAAUCAUCAAGCAGCAGUCGUCGCCUCCGCCUCUGCUUGUUCGUUAUUGUUUUCUUCGAAUCUAGAUCGAUUAAAAAUUUGUUUCUUUUCCUUUUUUCACUGAAUCUUUGUCAUAUUGUUGAUUUAUGGAAGCCAAACAAAGUUAUAAAUUUGCAAUUUAACUCUUACUUUGUGACAAUUCUGACGAACCAAAAGUAACUCAAAGGGCUUAUUCCGAUCCUGGCCGCUGAUAACAAUGAGUUUGUCACUCACAAGGAUACUCCGGCGAGGGAAGAAGAACAAGGACCUCAGUCGACGACGACGAAAACAAUGAAGUUCCACAAAAUCUUUACAAAUCAUUUUUAACUCUUAACACUUCUUCAUCGUCGGAGCUCCUGUCUGCUCUUGACGUCUUUUUCAAAGUAAAUUUCUCUAAUUUACUAUUCUGUUUUUUUCAAUUGUAGAAGCAAAAUACUAAUCUAAAUGGAUAGACAAUAACAAAACUAUAUCCUUUUUCAUGUUUUUAUGUGAAGUGCAUAUAGAAGCAUUAAUAUAAUGAUUGAAAUUAUUGGAGAUUGCAGGGCCGCCGGAGUUUUUGAACAAUGUUGAAGUAGCUGGAAUGGAUUGCAGUUGGAAGGGUUUGGGUAGUGAGUGGGUCGGGCUUACACAUUUUUUAAUAAUAAUAAUUUCCUUUUUCUUUUAAAUUAUAAUACAUUUUAAAAUAAUUUUUUUGGAUCCAAAUAACACAUGUCAUUAUUUAAUUUGCCAAAUUGCCACGUCACCACGAGUGUAUAUCACUCAUUUUAUACUUUUAGCUGAUUGUUCAAAAAAUGUUAAAAUGGUUCAAAUUCGAAGGAGUAGAGGUGUUCAAUAGGUACAAGCCUGAAUUCAGGUGUCUAAGUGAAUUAUGCGGAUAACUGUAAGUGGCUAGCGAUGACUUAAGCCAAAAAAAAAAGGUUAGUAUAAGGUACUCCUAUUACUUAAAUAAGACAAGGGAGAUAGAGUACCCCAUUAAAUUUACUGUACAUAUGUAAGUGACAAGGCAUGCAGAGGCAGAAUGACAAAAAUUAUAAUUGUAGGAGGUGGACAAGGUUGUUUAUAAUUGGCCAAAGGAUAUCAUUUUUGACACUUGACAGAUUGAGAUUGAUUUUUGAAUUUGACUAGGACUUCCACCUCAUUUGGACACUGGCAUCACCUUGUUGGUCUUGGAUGCCUAGUCAUCGUGACACAUGUCAUGGGUUAGGUAUUAGAGGUGAAAUGGACCUUGAAUUUUAAUUUAAUAAAAUAAACUUAAUUAUAUGUAAAACUCAAAUUAUCAUUUAACCCAAAUGAAUAGAAAUUUAAUUCAAAUUCCGUAUGAAUUUAAUCCAAUUAAAUUUAUGUCUACAAAAGCCCCCUCCUUCAAGGCUUGUUGAAGUAGGGGGCUUGCCGACAUUUGAUGGCGGGACUUGAAGUAUUAUGAAUUCGAUAAUAUUACUCUUAAGAUAUUUGCUUGACUCCAUUUCUUGUGAUGAAACUAGUUGUAUGCUAAGGUCAUGUGCAACUCCAUUUCAAUGUGUUCAUAAGGACUUUUGUUAUUUCAAUCCAACCGAUGGAUGAUAUGGAGGACUCUCGAGGGAGAGAUAAGCAAACCAAUGUGGCAAAGCUUUAUGAAUAUUAAGUUUGAAUAAACUUUCACCAUAGACUUGAAUGCAAAUUUGGACACCGAUACUCACAAGUGCCACACAAGUCCCCAACGUUGGACUUUAAAAAAAAAAGAACAUAGCUUGAUUUGCACAUUUUUUGCAAACCUUCAACUUGGAAACAAGUGGUAAUUUAACAAUCACACCAAACUUUAUUUCAUUUUCUUGAAUUUGUAAGAAUCAUUCUUCAAAUCUUAAGCAAUAUUGCUCUCCUUUUGAGUGUUAGGAUCUUCCAUUUAGAUGAGCAAGAAUUGAUUUAAAUUGUUUCUUCCUAUUUUACCACAACUUUCCUUGUACAAAGAAUGAGAAUUGUUCAUAGGAACCUCUAUAUAAACCUCUUUCAUGAACAAAGGAUUCAUCAAAGAAUCAUUGGAAUAAUCCUUUUGAAUUUAUAGUAACAUAUUUUUGAAGUAGAACUCCAAAUUUGGUGUGUUAUUUCUAUAUUUCGUGCAGUCCCACCAAAAUGUCAUUCUCUUAGUGUAGGAGUGUCCAGAUGACGAGAGGCUUAAUUCUGAAGAAAAUCGACUUGUAUUAUUAUAACAUAUCCAAAAAUCAACAUUAAACACUUUUAAGAUUGACGGGAAUCGAUUUUUGAAGUUGGUGUCAAAAUCUGACAGUUCUUUUCGCAGUUAUGUGCAAUCUCGCCAAAACGUCAUUUUCUUGGUGUAGGAGCAUUCAAAUGUUGAGCGGCUUGAUUAUGGAGAAACUAGACUUUUAGUACUACAACAUAUCUAAAUCAACUUCAAAAACCUGUCGCAUUGACGGAAAUUGAUUUUUGAAGUUGGUCUCCAAAUCUGGAAGUUCUUCUCACAGUUAUGGCCAAUCUCGCCAAAACAUCCUUUUCUUGGAGUAGGGGCAUUCAAAUGACGAGUGUCUUGGUUGUGAAGAAACUAGACUUGUAGUACUAUGAAAUAUCCAAAAACCAAUAUCAAACUCUUUCUGAAUUGACAAGAAUUGAUUUUUGAAGUUGGUUUACGAAUUUGAUGAGUUUUCUCACAGAUUUCCAUUUUUUUGCAUAUGAUUUUCGUUUUUUUUGUAGUUGACAAAGAAAUGACUUGAUCUUUAUUCAUCAAAAUUGCACCAGAAGAUUCACGUAUGCAAGCCUUAAGCAGUAGUUGUUGAAGAGUGAUCUAGGCCGCAAGUUAAAGCGUCAUACUAUUAACGUUGAUAUCUGUCCAAUUAGAUUGUUGUGCGACUAUUAAUGCUUGUCCUGCGAAACUGAAACUUCAUGCCAUUUGCACCGAACUACAUAGAAACAAGAAGCUUUGUACAGUUAGCACCAUGGGCUUCGUUAUCCUUUUUUUUUUUUUGUAGGUUUAUCAGAAAGCAUAAAUGAUCUUGACAUCAGUAAGGAAUCCACCAGAUGUCCAUAUGAUCGACGCUGAACCAUUUUAUAUGUCACUUCCUUACUUCUUGGAAAUAAAGGAUCUUGGAGCGGACAUACCCCUCCUUGGCAACACUAGAGGUAGUCCUUUCAAACUUCAACGAGCAAGUAGUUUGUGGCCAUCAUUGCUGCCUUGUGAAAAAGAAGUUUCGAGUGUAAACAUUCCAUUCUUGGUGGGAGAGCACGUGGUGCAUCUUAUCCUUGAGUCUUGGCGAUAAAGAGGCUAAGAGUGACCACGUUCCAUCUGGCUUGGAGAGAUUGACAUUACGAGAAGCCCUUUCCGACUUCGGUGAGUAAGUACUUGGAACCUAUCCGUUCCCAGAGGUAUGAGCAAUGGAAUUGCAAUCCGCUUGAUCCUAAAGAAACGGAACUCAACUUUCUGCAAUAUAUCAAGAUUUCAGACCAAAACUCCCUCCAAAUUGAUCAAAAUUAAUUUCUGAAGUUGAUUUCUAGAUCUGAUAUGUCUGUUUCGCAGCUUUGCGCGUCUAUCGUAGAAAAUUGAUAAGUCGGAGUAGGAGUACCGAAAUCAUGAGAUUCUUGUUCCAUUGGAAAGAUGACUCAAAGAACUACAACAUGUAUAAAAAUCAGGGCCAAAGACUCUAUGUAUUUGUACAGAUAUUGCUUCAAAGUCAGCCCAUAAUUCUGUCUUGCUAAGCUCUUCAGAUUUGCGCGUCUGUAGUAGAAAAUUCAUAGCUCGAAGUAGGAGUACCGAAAUCAUGAGUUUCUUGUACUGUUGGAAAGAGGUCUCAAAUAACUACACCAUUUGUAAAAAUCAUGGCCAAAGACUUUAUGAAUUUUCUCAAAUAUGCCUUUGAGUUCUGCUCACAUCAACUCCAAAAUAUGAUGAUCUUUUUUUUUCUGCUUCGAGAGACUGUAGUAGAAAAUUCAUAACUUAGUGUAGAAAUCUCUGAAUCACGAGCCAAUUUUUCCAUUGCAAAGUGGACUCCAAGAACUGAAAUAUGUGUCAAAAUCAUGGUCGAAACCUUUACGGACUUUCACAAAUAUGCCUUUCAAGUCAGCUAAGACUUUGCCUUGCUUAACUCUUCUCCUUUGCUCAUUUGUGACUCAUUUGAACUCACGUGCUAGCUAUGUAAUUUUAAAGAGCUACUAUGAUGAUCAUACAAUGCCACAAACCUCUUUUUUUACUCAUGUUACUGAGCUUAGAGUGAUUACUUCUAGCGCCUAUGUACCUUGGUGAAGAGGAUCAAGUCAUAUCGUAGUUCAAGAUGAUGAAUUUUAUUUAUUAUUUUUUGGGUCAUACACAAUUUAUACUCUUGUAGGCCAGGAUUAACAAGUAGUUUCUGCUCGUACCUUAAGGAGCAUUUCAACUUGCAGUCUAGGCUCGUGCGUCGAGGAGCAUUUUAGAUUCAGGAAUAACUAAGUAAACUCGAGGCUAUACUCCUGCACACUCAUAGCUUCCUGUUUCAGAUUCAGAAACCCUCUUACCUUAGCUUCACUUAGCUCUCGUGCCCCAAGAAAGCAUUCUCAAACACAACCCAGCUCAAAAGUGGUGCCCCCUCUACCCUGUUCUUCUUCCACUGAUCAUACCAUAUCCUAGAAACAUCUUUGAGCUGAUAUGAGACUAACUCCACAUGCUCUGAAUCAACAACGCACAUGUCCUCAAACAUUUUCUGAAGCUCUUCCACAAAGUUCUCUAGGUCCUUAGUGAUCUUUGACCCUGUGAACUCUAGGGAUUCAUACUCAAAAACUCAUGAAUUCCAAAUGUAUCAGUCACAUCUUGAUGACCCACUCCUCGUUGACUAGCUUGAUUUGUCACAGCUUGAGUUAGCAUCUGAAUAGCAUUCCAGAACUCAGCAUUGGUGACAUCUCAUGAGGGGGUUGCACUUUUGGUGCAUUGGGAGCUUCUUGACCUUGAGGAUUAGCAUUCCUCCUAACAGGACGUCCUCGAACAACUCUUCAUAGAGGCAUGAUCUGUAAAAGACACGCGUAAGCACAAGUUAGAAGAAACUUUUAUAGAGUUGAAAUCUAUCGCACGAACAAGAGUAAGAAGAAAGUGAAAAAUUUCUAAAUGUCAUAGCUUGCUCAUUAUAGAUGUGACACGCUUCACACCGAUAAGAAGGACACUACUAGACACGACUUCAUAGACACCCCAUAACUCUUUGCUCUGAUAUCAAGUUUGUCAUGCCCCCUAUAUUGUGAAUGUGACCGGCACUCGAGAACCACUAUUGGUUCAUAAGCAAACCCUUAGUUUGGUUGACUAUUUAAUAGAAGACCUACUCAAGCAAUAUUCGUCUUAAAGUAGAACUCAAUCAUGUAAACUCAAAGUCAAUCCUAAACUCAAGUGUUUGAAAAUACUCAAUGUAAUAAACAUAAUAGUUGUAAAACAGUUUAACAAGGACUCUAAGGACAUCUCAAGUCUAACUAUUAUUAAGCCUCUAAUAGUAAGAUAGGUGCCGGGACAAAAACCCAUAACAUCUCAAAGCUACUAAACUAAAAGUAAAUGUGAAGUCCUUCGGUAUGCAAAGAGGCUUACCAAUAGCUAUCUGAAGUGCAAAGUGAUCUCAACGAAGCGCCUGUUGAUGAUCAUGAACACAUGUAUAUGCAUCACAGAAAGAUGCAGGUCGAAUGACAUCAGUACAUGGAUGUACGAGUAUGUUAGAUAGUAGAAGUGAAAUAACUGAAGAAGGGAUUGCAACAUAUAAAAUAUAUGCAAGCUGAAUGUAAAGCAAUAAGAGUUAAAUAAUUUAUAACUUUACAAAUACUUACUCAUAUCUCGUAUCUGAACUCAACAUAAUAGGUGAUAAAUGAAAAUACACUCUAACUCUAGUUGGGAGAUUAUCUAACCGACAAUCAUCACUAUGAGCUACGUUAUGAUACAACAUCUCACCCACACUGCUUGAACUGUCAUAUAAUGUGCCAGGGUAUAGAACCUCUCAACUAAGUGAAUCCACUAAGCAAUAAGGAUUCAUCUAAAAAGUAUAAUCCUUUACCCAUGUUGGUAGACAUGGUUUAUGAGGAUUUUGAGUUUUAUGAACUCAUAUUCAUAUUGGUGCUUAAUACUACUCCCAAUAAUAUACUCAUGGUUAAAUGUAUAAAAAUACUCUUUCUCUGUUUUGAGGUAAUUACUCAAAAUAACCUCUUAAAAACGGUAACUGCUCUAAAAUAUCUCUGAACUCAAACUCUUUUUAGAAAUCAAAGUUUCUCUUUUCUCAAUGUAAAAAUGAUACACUUGGAAAUACUUAGUUCCCUUAAAGAAUGGUUUGGGACUUAGCUUAGAAAUUUUCGGGAUAUUACAGCCUCGUUGGCAUCUUUAGUUGAGGGUGGCCAUGCGGACACACCCUUCGUCAAAAAAUUAUACAAGGUUAAUUGCUACUUAAAAUGGUUAUUUAUUGCAGUUUGCACACCUUUACGACAACUUGAUAGGAUGGUGCAAAUGCAAUGGUCGGUAGCGUCAAAAAAAGUUUAUUCAAUUUCUAGUAGGUGAACUGGACGGUGGCAUCAAAAAUCGAAUGGUGACAUGUUGCAAAACCAACUUCUUCUCUGUUGUAUUGAUUAUUACAUUAUUAUUUUGUUUACAUGAAUUUGAAUAUUCAUGUAAGUUCUGAGGCUAGUGACAAAAAGCAAUACAAGGAUAUCAGUUAUAUAUAUACUAGCUAUAUACAUCUCUAAUUUCUUGCAUCCACUGUAUAUCAGUUAUCACAAUCUAACCUACUUAACUUAAUCAUUCCUAUUAAGAAUAGUGCAAGACAAGUAAGAUGUUUUUUUCAUACUAUAUAAUUGUACAAUUAUAAUUAUAUAGGAAAUUUCUGUUUUCUUAUAUAUGUGUUACCGUAGAAAGUCGAGGAUGUUUACGGAAUGUAUGUUCCACACAACAUUGAAAAUGAUGGACAGCCAGAAGAUCGAAGGCAAUGCUGAGUAACAAUUGUGUAAACCAAUGAAAGGCAAUAAUUCAACAAAGCCAAGUAAUUUCCUAGACAAAAUAAAAACUCAAAGAAAACUUUUAUGCGGAGGUAUUUUGACUUCUUCUUAGUUUCUUCACCAUUUAAUAAAUUCUAUAACUCACAUAAUAGGAGUUACUUUUAUAUAAGUAAUAAUUAAGUACAUUGAUUUGUAAAGAAUCUAAUGAAGAUGGUGGGAUGAUAGGCAUGAGAAAGAGAUCAAGUCGAACAAGUUUCUCAAAUCGAAGGCAUGUCAACUUUUAAUUUACAAUGCCUCUAAGCUGUAAUAACCCUCUUGGCCAUUUUCUCUGUAGUGCAAUAUUUUUGAUGUUUAGAGCUUUUUGGUCGUUCGUUUAGUUUUUAUGCAAGUUUCUCUGUUUUGGAGUUUUUGAAAUUUAGACGGUUGACUUCGGUCAAAACACAGGUAAACAACCUCAAAAUGCAAUUUGAUAUUGGUUUUGUUAGUUUUUGAACAUUGAGUUUGGUCUAGAAGAAGCCUUGGUUUAGGUCUUGAGGCUUAUAAAAUCAUCUCGAGCUACCUUGUGGAUUUAGGCUAAACUAGAGCUUUGGCUGUGGGACCCACUUUUUAUUGAGAUAACGUCUGUUGGAAGUUUCGACAUCUCCGUUGAGUCCAGAUUAUUGAAUUUGGUAGGGUAGCAUAGCUCUUUUGUGUGUAUGGUUUUCCAAACCAAUCCCAAGCACUAGAGCUGAGUCCAUUCGGACUUUGCUAAAUUUGUUGGUUCCUGAGCUGGUGUAGCCACCUAAGCGGCCAUGGAACGCUUUAGCGGAUGUCUUUUAAGCGGCCAGAGACCUAGCCUCUUUUGCAGUCAUCACUCGUGGUUAAGUCUCGUUUUCAGUUGUUCUUUUUGAGACUUUGUAUUUCUUAAAACAAACUUGUGAGCUUCUUUCUUGUAGGAUUUCUGUGUUGUUGAUUGGGAAGUGUUGAGGGAGCGUGUCGGGAGUUGAUAGAAUCGUAAUUCACCCGCUAAACUCAUAAGUUUCUUUGAUUCUUUCUUGUGAAUUCUCAAAGUCUUGGGUGCAUGAUCUGUUUCGAGGCAUUUUGAAGCUCAAAUUGUGCCCAUUUUUGGGGCGCAAGUUCCUUGAGCUGGUUGGGAUCCCAUUGACGGAGUCAAUUUAAGGAUUCCUGGCCCAGGUCUUGCAAUACCAUUUUUGUCCCCUUUUUAGUUCCAUCUUUAAUUAUUGUGAAUUGGGUGUCUAAAUGAUUGUAUUGAUGUUGGGAUCAUUACUUCGAUAGUGUGGCACCGUUCGGAGGCGGUUUGGAACGGAAAAGCGUCUGUUAAGAGAUUUUGGAGCGCAUGUUUGUGAUUGGAGCGCAUGUUUGCUAUCCUUAGACCUUGUUUGUGAUUGUUAGCAUGCUAAUUAGCUAAGUGCGGGGCAGGUUUCUAUCAUGAUUUUUCAUGUUUCGUUCCUUUCUUGUGUCGUUUUGACCUUAUUUUGUGUGUUUUGGGUAAUUCUUGAGAUUUCUUGUUAUUAGUUGAGAACCUUUGCACCCGUGAGUUGAAAUUAGGCUAGAAUCACCUUAGUAUUGUUGUUGUGAAGCCUUAGCCUAGGUUUGGCUACAAUAAUGCAGUCCAUUCUAAGAUCAAUCAGCAAGCUCAACAUGAACUAAUUAAGCAGUCGUAUUUAGUUUACUAAGGAGAUGAACAAAUUACGAUGGCCUAACCUGAAUAAACAAACAAUGAACUGUCUAUGAUUUAAGUAAUUACAAAUAUGGAGAUACAAGUUCUAUAUAUUAUCAAAAUAAAAGUGUAACCAUGUCAGCAGCAGAUUAAUACCAAAUCAAAUUAUCAAACAUACUCAGAAAAACUCACAUGAAGAUGAGACAAUUUAAACUCACAAUGAGACAAAGAGUCCAAGAAGAUGAGACAGUUAGUGUAUUUUCCUUGUAGUCAAUGUGAUAGACAUUCUCAUUUAUGGAGAAAGCAUAAGUCUUCCGUUACACUCUAAGGCACAAGGAACCAACCUCUAAUAAUUUUGUUCUUCAACUUCAGUGUCCUUCACUGCCACAUCAUCAACACUCUGCCUCAUAAUGAAAACAAAUGAGAGGAUCGGACCACAGUUCAUCCUUGAUCAUCUCACCGAUUUCAUCCCUUUUGUCAGCUUCACUGAACCACUUAAAGAAGCUUCGUUCAUCAACUCCCUUGCCUUGUGCCCAUUGUAUUGACACCUAUAUAUACUUUUUCCAAAGCUUUGCAUUCUCAAAAUAUGAAUUUCAAUCAAAAUUUUAGAUAAUGCUAUAACCUGAUUUGACAUCUUGAGACUGUUCAAGUUUGAUUGAGCUUAGAAACUCGAAUAUCUUGCGGUCCUCUUCUGCACAUACAAGGCCACGAUGCUUCAGGAAAGAUUUCAACCAGAAGUCAGGAAUAUAUUUAAUAAUAUUUGUUCUCUUCUCAUAGAUCGGUUGAUGGAUCCGAUUGUACUUUUGUGCAACUUUCAACAAUUCACCACUCGCCUCUUGGUUAAUCUUCGCCAACUCAUCUUGCAAUCUUUCAACGCACAAAACGAUUUGCUUUCCAUCAUGAUCAAUCUUCUUCUUCCAUUUGUCAUUCCCCAUCUUUAUUGACACUUCAUCACUCCCAUGAUAUAUUUGUGUUCUAUGAAGUGAAUGCUUUGACAAGAAGUAAAUGAUUUUUUGUUUCAUUCAACGUCCCAUUCGAGAGAUUGUAAAGGAAAUGGGAAUAAUUAAGUAAAGAAAUAGAGCAGCUCAAAACUCCAACCAAACCAAACAAGAAACAUCAUUUACUUGUCAAAUCUCAUUCUCAAUACUUAUUACACCCUCCCUCACUUUUAUUUGCACAUAUCUUAAAAAAACACUCUCUCCGUCCUUAUAUACUUGUCAAAUAUUUCCUAAUUUAAUUUCUCCUUUUACUUAUCAUUUUUGACAAAUCAAGCCAUGACAAUUAUUAUUCCCUCAAUUUAUUAACAUUAAGUAAUGUCUUUAAAAAAUAUAGCGAGUAAAUAUGUUUGGGACCCUAUCAAUUAGUAGGAUAAAAUGGUAGACUUAUUAACCAAUAAUUAUUUUCAUAAUAAGUGUGUCAAGUUAAAUUAUGACAAGUAAAUAGGGAUGGAAAAAUCAAUAAUUAAUAUUAAAAAAAUUAUCAUGAUGUUCAUAAUAAUUGAUAUUUAAAACUAUAUUUACCUUUCACCCGUUAAAACUAGUCAUAUUUAUCCUUCAUCCACUAAAAUUAGCAAUAUUUACCUCUCUAAUUAGAUUUCAUUUUCACCUUUAAAAAGUCACAUGUCGUGGUAUUAAUAAAUGAAAAACCAGCCCCAUUUUUAAUUCUAAACUGGCCCGACCCACUUUCUUACCCACACGCAAAUCACUCACACUUCUCUCUAUCUAGGGUUCUGGGUUGAUUUUUUGUUAUUAUUUACCAGAUUUUUUAUAUGUCAAUAUGAGUACCAAUACACUCAUAUAAUCAUGUAAAAUAUUUGAUAGAUUGGGAGCACUCAAAGGCUCAAGAAAAGGAAAAACUAGUUUAUGAUUGUUGUGCUUCAGAAUGAAGUAAGUUAAAAUUUUCUAGACUUCAAUUGGAGAAUGUUUUGCAAUUAAUGACAUUUAGGGAAUUGUUGGGUUUUAAAAGGUGUGGAUGGAAAAUGAAGAGUUGCGACUUUUAUGAAGAGUUGCGACUUUUAUGAAAAGUUGUGACUUUUAUGAAAGAUUGUGACUUUUCCAAGGGUUUGUGACCUUUCCAGUUAAGGCACAAUAAGAACAUUUUCACACUACCCUUUGUUUUCUAUAAAUUGAGGGAUUUCCUCUCAUUUUAGUCGAACAAUUUUUUUUUCCUGGACUUCUUCUACUACUACUAAAUGUAGUAUUCUAAGUGUACUUUACUGUCGUUGAGUGAUUCGUUGACACCGUGAUUUUAGGUAUCGAUACACCUGUGAGUAAGAUCGUUCUAUCCUAGGAGGAUAUAUUCCAUUAACCUCGGGUACUUGAGGGGAAUAAUUUCCUUAAGGGGACACUUUGCAUUCAGUGGACUCGAUUUUCUUUCUUUGAGAAAAAUAUUUUUAUAUUGUUUCUAACUUGUUUCUGAUUCUAUUUUCUCUACUAGUUUUAAUUUUCUAGUUUGAAAAUUUUCUUUAAAACUUUGUUGUUUCUUACCAAGUUCUUCAAAGUUUUGUUCUAAGUAUCUUAGGAUUACAAGAUGAACAACAAUCUUAAGGAAAUUAUUAUACUGUUGGUAUUUCUUGUAUUCUACUGAUUGAGAGAAACAGUUCAUGGAAGUAGAAGAUUAAUGCAUUACUUCUCCAUAAUUCGGUGCUUUGUUUAGCAAGGUCGAAGUGAGAAUGUACUGGAAGAAUUGGUGGUAUUUAGGUUAAAGAUUGCACCAGGUAACCUUCUUAUUAUUUAUCUAAGGAGGAAAAUAGUUUAUAAAAGUUAAUAGCUUUGGUAAUAUUUAGCAUGUAUGUCUUUGGAAAAAGAUCUGCAAACCAUAUGAUUUUUGAAUGAAUUUUCCUUGGCAAAAAGUGUUGCCUUUAAAAUUCUUCAGUUUGUAGAAUGAGAGAUGCAUAUUUUUGUUUGAUAAAAUAGUAUGUCAAAAUGUUUCUAAGAAUAUGUUUAAUUCUAUUUGGAGACUAAAAAAAACUUUUGUAGUUUUGUACUCCGUGUGAAAUUUGAUUGUGUCUGAUUUUUGUAGACUAAAAACUUUUAUAGUUUUCUACUCUGGAUAAAUUACACGAUGCUAUUGGUUUGAAGAAUAUGAAAACUUCACAUAAUAAGUCAAUGUUGUACUUUUGACUUUCUAUAAACUUCACUGUUAUAUAGAGAUAAAUUGUACAAAUUUUUUUUGUCUUUAUUGUUAGUAUUCUAAAUACUAAGUGGUAUGUCUAUUUGUGAUAGAGGAAAAAUAUCAGUGACUUAGAGUUUGUCAUUUUGUGCCUCUAUGAAAUGAACUUUGACAUUGUGUAAAGAUGUCAAAGAGAAUUGAAGCACUAUAAUUCUUUUGUAGAAUAAUAUUUUCAAAAGAGGUUUCAUGUUGCCAAUGACACUUUGAUAGCAUGAGAAAAAAAAUAUGUGGAAAAACUAUUUUCAAAUACUUGAAAAUAAUUUUUGAGAUCAUAUUUAAAAUGUGGGGGUUCUAUGCUUAUUACAAAGAUAAAAUUAGACUUAGUGUCUAAUUUAAAUUUGGAGCACAAGAUAUGAAAUUCGAUGAUACUUUUGUAUUAUGUUAGUUUGUAGCACAUAAAAUUGUAAAAAAUAGGAACAAAAUAUUUGUGAGAAAAAGCUACCUCGCGGAGAGCUUUUCAAACUCAAUAUUUUUAUUUGUUCUUACUUUUUUGAGUCAAACUGUUUGUGACAUGAACACUUGGGACAUGUCAAUUACAAAACCUUGUAAGGAAAACUGAUCAACUUAGAAGUUUUGUCUAACUUUGAGUGCAAUAAAAUAAAAAUGUCAAGUUUGUGUGGAAUCUUAGUAUGGUGAGCAUUCUUAUAAAUCUGUUGAAAGGAAUUCUAAUCCCUUAGAGUUGAUUUACACUGACAUUUGUGAUAUGAAGUCAACACCAUCUCGCGGUGGGAAAAAGUAUCUCAUAAGUUUCAUUGACAAUUGGAUUAGAAAUGACUAUGUCUAUUUGCUGAAUGGUAAUGAUGAAGCAAUAGAAAUGUCUAGAAAAUAUAAUAUUGAAGUUGAAAAUCAGUUGGGAAAAAGAUAAUAAGUGAUAGGGAUGGAGAAUAUAAAUCUACUUUUGCAUAAAUAUGUUUGAAAAAUGGAUUUAUCCAUCAAACUACUGUCUUAUUCACCUAAAUCUAAUGGAAUUGCAGAAUGAAAAUAAAACUGAACUUUGAAAAAAAUGAUGGUUGCAUUACUUAUAAGUUCAGGUUUACCACAAGACUUGUGUGGAGGAACUAUCCUUACUGCAAAAAGGAACAACAAAAAAGUUGUCUUUUCAGAAAAGAAAGCAAUUUUGUUUGUUCAGGAUACAAUCUAUUCCAUAUGAGAAAUGGAAAAUGAAGGAAAUCCAACUUGAAAUACUUCAAAGUGUGGGGGGUGUCUAGCCAAAGUCCAAGUUCCUAUUCCUAAAAGGAUUAAACUAGGACCUAUGAUUGUGGACUGUAAGAUUAGACUUGAGUAGUCUAGUGAAGGGUCUAAAAGACCUUGAAAAGAAAAAAAUAGAAAGUACUUAAUAAAGAGAUUCAGAGGCAUAGUAAAUGUCAAAGGGCAUCUACUUCCUUCGAAUAUGAUUUUGUAACAUUUCUUGUGUCUUAUGUAGACUCAUCCUUCUGGAAAGAUGGUGUCAAUAAUGAGAUUGAUGCAUUCUUGAAUAACUAUAUUGGAAGUUAAUUGAUUUUCUUCCAGAAAAUAAACCUUUGGGUUCAAAGUGAAUCUUCAGAAGGAAAAUGAAAGUAGAUGGAACUGUUGACAAAUAUUAAGCAAGACUUUUUGUCAAAGGCUUUAGACAAAAACAAGGUCUUGAUCUUAUCGAUAUAUACUCGUCAAUAACUAGAAUUACAUCCAUUCAAAUGUUAAUAUUAUUAGUUGUGGUAUAUGACCUCCAAAUUCAUCAAAUGAAUGUGAAAAUAACUUUCUUAAAUGGAGAAUCGGAGGAAGAAAUUUACAUUGAACAACCCAAGGGUUUUGUGGUUCCUGGAAAAGAAAAGAAAGUGUGCAGACUUGUUAAGUCACAUUAUGGACUAAAACAAGCACCCAAACAAUGACAUAAGAAAUUUGACCAAACCAUGUUUGCAAAUGGAUUUAAGAAUGAUGGAAGUGAUAAAUGUGUUUACAUUAAAAUCACACGAUCAUUGUUUGUUUGUAUAUUAAUGACAUAUUGAUCAUCAGUAGAGACACUAAUGACAUAAAUGCUACUAAACGUAUGCUAGAAAUAAGUUUGAUAUGAAAGAUCUUGGAGUUGCUGAUGCGAUCUUAGGUAUAAGAAUCCUUAGAACUCUAUAAUGUUUAGCAUUCUCUCGGUCUCAUUGCAUCGAAAAGGUAAUUGACUAGUUCAAAUAUUUGGAUUUCAAUAUUGUCAAGACUCCAAUAAAUGUGAGCUUUGCAUUUCAAAUGAGUGAAGGCGAAAGUGACUCACAAUUAGAUUGUGCUAGAGCAUUGAGAAGUAUGAUUUAUAUCAAGAAGUGUACGCGAUCAGAUACAAUACGUGCUAUUAGAAAACUGAGUCGGUUCACGAGUAAUCCCAAUCAAACUCAUUGGAUGGCAAUGAAAAGAGUUUUGGGGUAUUUAAAACAUACUCAAAGCUAUGUCUUGCAUUAUAACAAUAUCCAACAGUAUUGAAAGGAAAUAGUGAUGCAAAUUGGAUCACCGGGAUCAAAUGAAGUAAAAUCCACGAGUGGAUAUAUAUUUACUCUUGGUGGAGGAGCAGUCUCUUGGAAAUCUUCCAAAAAGACAUGUAUCACUAGCUCUACAAUGAUCUCUGAGCUAGGUGCUCUAGAUAAGGCCGGUGAAUAAGUUGAAAGACUCCUGAAUUUCUUGAUAGAUAUUACUUUUUUUUGUCUAAACCUUUAGCAUUAGUAAGCAUACACUUUGAUAGUCAAGAUGCAAUAGGUANNNNNNNNNNNNNNNNNNNNNNNNNNNNNNNNNNNNNNNNNNNNNNNNNNNNNNNNNNNNNNNNNNNNNNNNNNNNNNNNNNNNNNNNNNNNNNNNNNNNNNNNNNNNNNNNNNNNNNNNNNNNNNNNNNNNNNNNNNNNNNNNNNNNNNNNNNNNNNNNNNNNNNNNNNNNNNNNNNNNNNNNNNNNNNNNNNNNNNNNNNNNNNNNNNNNNNNNNNNNNNNNNNNNNNNNNNNNNNNNNNNNNNNNNNNNNNNNNNNNNNNNNNNNNNNNNNNNNNNNNNNNNNNNNNNNNNNNNNNNNNNNNNNNNNNNNNNNNNNNNNNNNNNNNNNNNNNNNNNNNNNNNNNNNNNNNNNNNNNNNNNNNNNNNNNNNNNNNNNNNNNNNNNNNNNNNNNNNNNNNNNNNNNNNNNNNNNNNNNNNNNNNNNNNNNNNNNNNNNNNNNNNNNNNNNNNNNNNNNNNNNNNNNNNNNNNNNNNNNNNNNNNNNNNNNNNNNNNNNNNNNNNNNNNNNNNNNNNNNNNNNNNNNNNNNNNNNNNNNNNNNNNNNNNNNNNNNNNNNNNNNNNNNNNNNNNNNNNNNNNNNNNNNNNNNNNNNNNNNNNNNNNNNNNNNNNNNNNNNNNNNNNNNNNNNNNNNNNNNNNNNNNNNNNNNNNNNNNNNNNNNNNNNNNNNNNNNNNNNNNNNNNNNNNNNNNNNNNNNNNNNNNNUUGUGACUUUUAUGAAAAAUUGUGACUUUUAUGAAGAGUUGUGACUUUUACGAAGAGUUGUGACCUUUCCAAAAUAUUGUGACUUUUCCAUAGGGUUGUGACCUUUCCAGUGGCACAAUAAGAACCUUUUCACACUACCCUUUGUUUUCUAUAAAUUGAGGGAUUUCCUCUCAUUUUAGUCGAACAAAUUUUUUUUCCUGGACUUCUUCUACUACUACUACUACUAAAUGUAGUAUUCUAAGUGUACUUUACUGCUGUUGGGUGGUUCGUUGACACCGUGGGUUUAGGUACCGAUAUACCGGUGAGUAAGAUCGUUCUAUCCUGAGAGGAUAUAUUCCAUUAACCUCGGGUACUUGAGGGGAAUAAUUUUCUUAAAGGGACAUUGCACAUUCAGUGGGCUCGAUUUUCUUUCUUUGAGAAAAAUAUUUUUAUAUUGUUUCUAAUUUGUUUAUGAUUCUAUUUCUCUACUAGUUUGAAAAUUUUCUUUAAACUUUGUUGUUUCUUACCAAGUUCUUCAAAGUUUUGUUCUAAGUAUCUUAUGAAUACAAGAUGAACAACAGGAAUUAGGAUAAGAGGUAUCAUAUAGAUGAGAUGAACACCUAUGCGAGGAUCAGGUGGCAUGUUCGAUAAAUAUGUUGAUUCUUUAGCAAAUUUUUGUGAUUAUUUGACUUUGUCCGAGGAAAAUGGUGAAAUUGACUUGAUUGAUUGUGGCUAGUUGAGACAUGAGCAUAAAAAAAUGAUUAUCUUGCAAAAUAAGAAAUAAUUGAGAUUGUUAAUGAUAAUUCUUGUUUGGUAUAUAUACUUGUUUGAUAUAUAUAUUCAUAACACUCAUCUCAUUGCAGGAAGAAAAUGCGACAUAGAGAGUCUUAUUCUUAACAUUUUCAUGAAAAUGAUUCUUGCACAAAGGAAGCGUCAUCAAGAUCUUUCAUUUCAAAUUUACGGGAUAGUUUCUUGAUUUCAUGAAAUAAACUUACAUCACUGCUUUCCAAUAGAAUGUCAUCUACAUAAAGCACAAUAAUAAUAUAUUUAUUUUAAUUGAACUUGAGAUAUGCAUUGAUCUUAAAAACAAAAAAGAUUAUCACCUGAUCAAAUUUUUAUAUCAUUGACAGAAUGCCUAUUUUAAACCAUAUAUUGACUUUUUAAGUCGUAAUAAGCUACAAUAUGAUUCUAAAAGAGUCUUUCGAUGAAAUUGACAAAAAAAGUCUCUUCAAAAUCUAGCUUCCUUUUGAGUGAAUCCACUGACAACUAGGUGUGCUUUAUAUCUUGACUAACAGUUAUAGGAUAAUCUUCUAAUCCCAUAUCAAAAUCAUGUUCUUGGAAAUAAAUAAUGGUCAGCCAAAUUUGCAUUUCUCCUUUUUAUGCUAGAUCUUCUUUUAGGUACUUAAACUUGAGAUUGUUGGAAAAUAUCAAUUUGAAAAGCAUUUGAUAAAGCCACCUGAUUAUUUUCACUAGUAGAAGAAGUAUUAUUAAAUUUCUCUUCAAACACAAUUUGUUUCCUUUCAUUGCUUCUACCAUAAUCAACAUCCUCAAUUAAUUGGACAUGUUCUGUUUAAAAAAUGAUAUGAUUGAGGGGCCGUAAAACUUAAAACUUCUCAACCUUUUCGAGUAACUUACAAAGUAGCAUUUAACAAUUCUUGGAUUUGGUUUCUUUUUAGGGCAAAAAACUUAAGUAUACAUAUUAAGUAUCAUAAUUACGACUAUAUAGCAAUAAUUUUUUUCCCACCUAAAUAGCAUUAGUUUUUUUCAAAGUUAUGUUUUAAUAAUAAAAAAAAGUAUUUAAAAAAAAACACGUUAAAUGAGUGCUCCAUGAUUUACGCCGUUCCCCUUUUUUUCUCAAAUUUUUUACCUUCCACUAUUUGCUCAGAUUGGUUAUAUAUAUUCUCUCCUAACAAUAAAAGGUUUCUUAACAAAAAUAAAAAUCUCUUACUACUCAUUCUGGACGCACUUCAAUCAUGGAUACCAACAAUUAUUCAAUCCUAAUUCACCAUAAAGGACGUUGGGAAGCAUCAGGUAAUAUUGAUAAAUCAAAAUUUGAUUGGUAUUUUUUAAAGUGAUUUUUCUAUGUGGAAAUCAUGAUCGUUAUGUUGGAUAUGAUUUUUUUUGUUACAAUCUAACAAACGACGUUAAAAAUGGUGUAAUUUCGAUAGCAACGUUGACUGCUAAUGUAAAAAGCAUUAAUUAAGAUUGGAAAGAUCCAAUGUAAUUUAUAUUUAAAGUAUUUGACCAGCUUUUGAUGUGAUUAAGAUUCACAUUUUAUAAGCACUGCCCAAUCAGAACACACAUGAUUAUAUAAAGAAAAAAUUACCCCACGUAUAUAUUUAAAAAAUAAUAUUACGGAUUUUAAAUCUACUUUUAAAAUAUUACUACUUAUAACAUUUUAAUUGUGAGUUAUAACAUAUCAUUUUUUAUUAAAAAAUAAUUAAUUCAUUUUUAUUAAAUAAUUAGUCUUUUUAUAAUUAUAUUUUAUAAAUUAAUUAAUAGGUUAUAUAAAUAAAAUUAAAAUAAAGAAUCAAUCAUAAUUAUCUAAUACACAUUUUUAGGGAUUUUUUACUUUUCAAAUACACUUUUUUUACUGUCACAAGUCAACUAUCCACCCCCACCACGUUUCUAUCCAAUUCUCACGCUAUCACCCCUACCCCACCCCCACGUUCAAACUGUCUUCUUCUUCACUGUUCAACCGUAAAUCUCUCUCACCAUAUUCUUCUCUGUUCACUCAAAAGAGAAUCAAAUCUUCAUCAAAGUACUAAGAAACUAAUAAACAUGUCAAAGAACACUCAUAGAAAAGGGCAAAAAACUUAAGUAUACAUAUUAAGUAUCAUAAUUACGACUAUAUAGCAAUAAUUUUUUUCCCACCUAAAUAGCAUUAGUUUUUUUCAAAGUUAUGUUUUAAUAAUAAAAAAAAAUAUUUUAAAAAAAAACACGUUAAAUGAGUGCUCCAUGAUUUACGCCGUUCCCCUUUUUUUCUCAAAUUUUUUACCUUCCACUAUUUGCUCAGAUUGGUUAUAUAUAUUCUCUCCUAACAAUAAAAGGUUUCUUAACAAAAAUAAAAAUCUCUUACUACUCAUUCUGGACGCACUUCAAUCAUGGAUACCAACAAUUAUUCAAUCCUAAUUCACCAUAAAGGACGUUGGGAAGCAUCAGGUAAUAAUGAUAAUCAAAAUUUGAUUGAUGUUUUUUAAAGUGAUUUUUCUACGUGGAAAAUCAUGAUCGUUAUGUUGGAUAUGAUUUUUUUUGUACAAUCUAACAAACGACGUUAAAAAUGGUGUAAUUUCGAAUCUUUAAUUAAUGGUUUUUGUUGUUGUUGUUCAGCAAUUUCGUAGUUUUUUUUGGGGGGGUAAUUUUUCUUUUGUUUGUUUUCUAGGGUCUGUAGGUUAAGAUAGAAGUAGUUUUAGUGCUUAUGGUUAGUAAAUUGCUUAAAUAAUUGUUUCUAAAUAUUGAACAUUUUGGUUGUACCGUGUGGUGUAUUUCUGAUUUUUAAGGUGUCAUUCAGAAUGUUAAUGAUGGUGUGCAUAUUGAUUAUAUUUUGGUAGAUAAUUUGGACUGUUAAGUUAUUGGGUGAAAAUGAUAGUUUUUAAUUGGUGUCAUUCAGUUUGUUGUUUUUUCGGUACAUAAUGAUGGUGUCAUAUUAAUUCUAUUUGUUUGAAUAUUUUAGAUUGGUAAGUUAUUUGGUGUAAUUGAUCGUUUUUAUUUACUAAACAUAAUGGUCUGCCAGUUUGCUUAGAUUCUAAUUUUUAUGGUAUUUUUCAUAGUGGUGUUUUUGGUACAUAAUGAUGGUGUUCAUAUUUAUUCUGCUUGGUAGAUCAUUUGGAUAACUCAAAAAAUAACUUAAUAGUGUAAUUUAUGAAUUUUGUGGUACAUAUAUUGAAUAAUUAUUGGANNNNNNNNNNNNNNNNNNNNNNNNNNNNNNNNNNNNNNNNNNNNNNNNNNNNNNNNNNNNNNNNNNNNNNNNNNNNNNNNNNNNNNNNNNNNNNNNNNNNNNNNNNNNNNNNNNNNNNNNNNNNNNNNNNNNNNNNNNNNNNNNNNNNNNNNNNNGGUGUGCUUAUUGUGAAAUAACACAAAUAUUGAUAAAAAUUGAAUUGAAAACAUUACUUAGAGUAAAUAUUUUUUUGUUUGGAACCAAAAUUAAUACACAUCAUUAACGUAAAUUUUUUGGUAUAAUUUUGGAGUAGUACUGAAAAAUGUUAACAAAAAUGGAUGUAGAUAAUGGCUAUCACGUACCGAUUUGGUGUACUUCUGGUAAAAUUGGCACAAGUAUUGGUAAUAAAUGAGGGGUAUAUACUAGAUGAUAUUCUGGUAUAAUAUUCCAACCUGAAACAUUGACUACACUUAAAGCUAGUUAAAGUGAAAAGUUUGGUUUAUAUUAGACAUCAUUAACGUAAGAAAUUAUGUAUAAUAAUGCUAAAAAUGUUUAAAAUAAUAGUUGUACUAUAAAUACCCAACACAUACACAAUUGGUAUAGUUGUGUAAACAAAAAUUAUAGUAAAAAUUGGUGUAUAUAAUGGUUGAUAUUCUAGUAAUUUAUACCUACAUGAAACAUUGAAUAUGAAACCACUACUUAAAGUAAAGGAUUCUAUUUUGAAUAAAAUGUUGGUAUUACAUGCCAACAUCAUACAUCGAAUCUUUCAACUACUACUUACGUUAAAACAUGUAAUAAUGCUGGUAUAUAGUGUCUGACAUGUUGGUAUUAUAUACCAAUCUCACACAUAGUUAUAUUAUAUACCAAAAACACACAUUUUUGUUGAAAUGUUCUAUUAUAAACCAAACUCACAAUAAGUUCUCACAAAAAAUUAACCAACAUAAUGAACCAAAUAGAGGUAGUUAAACUCCAAAAUAAACACAAUAUCCAACAAUGAUAUUCUGAUAAUGUAUACCAACAUGAAACAUUGAAAAUGAAGAAUAUGGAGAGUUUAGACGUUUGGGAAGGAAAUUUCCUAGAAACUAUAACUCAACUAUGGCUACAUCAACUUUAUUGGUAACAUAAAAAGUUAUAUAAAAAAAGAAAGAAAAUAAAUAUGAUCCCAAUAAUAAUCAAUGAAACGUGUAGAUAUGGGACUAUAAUAGGAGAGAUAAUAUUGGAAAAUUUUAAUAUCCUAAUUAUACUACACAUUAAAUGCACGUUAAUAAAAAAGCAUGAGAGAGAAAAAUUUGGAAAAAUAAAUAAACUUAAAAACGAAAAUCAAUUAAUUUGCUAUGUAUGUAAUUUAAAAGCUAUGUUUGUAAUUAAAUAGAAGUACAUUGAUAUUUUGUUAAUUAAAGUCUUAAGUAGUAUACUUUUGUAAUAAAUAUUUUUGGGAAUAUAUUUUUAUUGAUAUGUUUUAUAUAAUUAUAAUUAAAUAAUAUCAUUAGAUACUAAAAUAUUAUAAAAAAACAAAUAAAAUGAUUAAAACUUAGUAAGAAUUGGGCGGAUUGAGUUUUAACCCAUUUUAAUCCAAGUAAUUUUUGGGCAAGCUAAUAAGUAAUAACAUGUCAAUUUAUUAAGGGCAAAAAACUUAAGUAUACAACUUAAUAACUUUAAUUACAUGAAUAUAGCAAUACUUUUUUUUUUUCAAUUGAAUAGCAAUAUUUUUUUUUCAAAAUUGGAAUUCUUAUAAAAAAAUAAAUAAAAAAAACGUUUUCAACCACAAUUAUCCAUAUCCCUUAAAUUUCUCCAAUUAUUUUACCUUCCCUGAUUUACUUCAAUUUGUUAUAUAUCAUAUCCCAUAAAGAAAGGUUUCCUACAAAAAUAAAACUUCUCUUCCAAACUAAGAUCGGCGAUCAAAUAUGCAGAUCAAUAAUUUUUCAAUUUUAAUUCAUCACAGCGGACGUUGGGACUCAUCAGGUAAUCCUUUUGGUAGUAAUUCCUUUGAUUUUGUCAAAUUUGGUGGAAUAUACGUUCAUAAGAUUUUGGUUAAUGUUCUGGUGCAACUGUAAAAAGGUUAAAUUAUUAAAUAGAUAUUAAGAUUUAGCAAUUGUUUGUGGAAUAUUAUUAGGAUUUUAACAUAAUCUACGUUUUAAUUCUUCUUUGUAUUUAUUCGUUGUUUUAUAUUAACGUUUUUAUAGUUUUUAAUUUGUGAACAUAAUGGUCUGCCAGUUUGGUGUAAUUCAGAUAUUAUUGGUGUCAUUCAGAGUGGUGUUUUUUGGUACAUAAUGAUGGUUUGCAAAUUAAUUCUAUGUUGGUUGAAUAUUUUAGAUUGAUAAGGUAUUUGGUGUAAUGUAUCGUUUUAUUUGGUGUGAUUCUGAUUUUUUGGUGUCAUUCAUAGUGGUGUAUUUUUAGUACAUAAUGAUGGUGUGCAAAUAAAUUCUAUGAAACCAGUUUUAUUGAUUAUAUUUUUUGGUAAGUUAAUUGGUAAAAAUGAUCGUUUUUUAUUAGUGAACAUAUUGAUCUUACAGUGUGGUGUAAUUAUGAUUUUUUUGGUGUCAUUCAAAAUGGUGUAUUUUAGAAAAUAAUGAUGGUGUGCAUAUUGAUAGUAAUUUUGGUAGAUAAUCUGGAUUGUUAAGUCAUUUGGUGAAAAUGAUAGUUUUUAAGUGGUGAACAUAAUGGUCUGCCAGUUUGGUGUAAUUCGGGUAUUAUUGAUGUCAUUCAGAGUGGUGUAUUUUAGUACAUAAUGAUGAUUUGCAAAUUAAUUCUUUGUUGGCUGAAUAUUUUAGAUUGGUAAGUUAUUUGGUGUAAAGUAUCGCUUUUAUUUGGUGUGAUUCUGAUUUUUUGGGGGUCUCUUAGUGGUAUUUUUUUUAGUACAUAAUGAUGGUGUACAUAUGCAGUUGCAGCUAUCAAAUAUAGAAACAAAUACCGCAAAGAUUAUUGUUCCUCCUAUUAUAGUAAUAAGAAUUUUCAAGAUACUUAUGUAAUUUGAAUAGAACCAUUGCCUUGCGAAAGCACUUGGAAUAUUCCAUCGCAUAUUUUGGAAGAGGUAAUGCUACCACCAAUUGCAAGAAAACAACCAGGCAGACCACCAAGUAACGACCGUAAGAAGGGAUUCAACGAAGGAAAAUACAAGAGGAGUAAAGUCACUUGUAGUAAAUGUGGUACAUCAGGGCAUAACAAAAAGACUUGCCUCAAAUUUGCUUGUCAGAAUUAACAUUGUUGUAUUAUUUUCAAUUAUUACUGUUGAUGUUUUCUUCCAACAGUUAAGAAUUUUUUAAAACUGAUAAAUGCACUUUUAUCCAACUUUAAUUACUCUUGAAUUGACAUUUCUUUGGUAUUCUCUUGUUUGGCAUACAUGUUUGGUAUUCUCGUGCUUGUCAUAUAAUGUUGCAUUCUGGGUGACUUAGAUAAUUGACAACAUGUUCAAAAAAUAUAUGCUAUAACUUAUGAGUGAAUAUAAGUGUAACAUACAAAUAAAUCUACCACAAUUGGUGUACUUAUGGUGAAAAAAGAACAUUGAAUACAAUUAAAGCUAGUUAAAGUGAGUGUUUGAUUUAUAAUAGACAUCAUUAACGUAAUAAUUUGAUAUGAUAUUUGAAUAAUGCUAAAAAAUGUUUAAAAUACUGGUUGAUUGUGCUAUCUAAUACCCAGAAUGUACACAAUUGGUAUAGUUGUUUAAACACAAAUAACGAUAAAAAUGGAUAAAUAUAUUGGUUGAUAUUCUGGUAAUAUAUACCAAAACAUUGAAAAUGCUAAAAAAUAUUUAAAACAAUGAUUGGUUGUAUUAUAUAAUACCCAGAACAUACACAAUUGGUAUAGUUGUUUAAACACAAAUAAUGACAAAAAUGGGUAAAUAUACUGGCUGAUUUUCUGAUAACAUAUACCAACCUAAAACAUUGAAUCUGAAAACCACUACUUAAAAUAAAAGAUUUUGGUUUGAAUGAAAUGUUGGUAUUAUAUACCAACAACAUGCAUCGAAUAUUUUAACAACUACUUAAGAUAUAAUAUGUAAUAAUGCUAGUAUAUAGUGUCUGACAUGUUGGUAUAACAUACCAAUCUCACACAUUGUUAUACAAUCUAUACCAAUCACACACAAAUUAUGUUGAAAUGUUCUAUUAUAAAUCAAAUUCGGAGUCCUAUCCAUGGCGAAACUAUGGUGAAUCGGAUGGUAUAGAUGGAAAGAAGAAGAUGGAAGGGUUAAAUUUUUUGAACAGAAGAAUAUGGAAGGGCUUAGACGUUUGGCAGAAAAGAAAAAUGGUAAAACUUUCCUAGGAACUAUAACUCUCCUAUUGAUAACAACACCAAUUUUAUUGGUAAAAUAAAAAGUUAUAUCAAAAAAGGAAAAAAUAAAUAUGAUCCCUAUAAUAAUCAAUGAAACGUGUAAAUAUUGAACUGUAAUAGGAGAGAUAAUAUUGAAAAAAUUUAAUAUCCCUAAUUAAUCUCCACGUUAAAUGCACAUAAUUCAAAAGGCAUGAGAUAGGAAAAUCUUAAAAAAUAAAUAAACUUAAAUACAAAAAUUAAUUUUUUUGUUAUGUAUGUAAUUUAAAAAUUAUGUUUGUAAUUAAAUAGAAGUAUAUUGAUAUUUUGUUUAUUAAAGUCUUAAGUAGUAUACUUUUGUAAUUUUCACUUCUUUUUAUUAGGCUUUAUAAGGCCUCACCCAGUUCUCUUUACAAAUCUUUCCCUGCCCAGUUCUCUUUUGUCUUUCUCUCAUUCUCGCUUUAUACAAACACAAAUUAUACAAAUUAGAAUGUAUAAUUUGUGUUUGUGUAAAGUGAGAGGGAGAUUUGAUAUACAAAUACAAAUGUUUUAACUCGAUUCAAUUGUAUACAAAUUCAAAUUUUAUGUAGAUAUACAAAUACAAUCAUUGAUACAUAUACAUAAAGUUACAUAUAUACAAUUAUCUAACCGAUAUACAUAUACAAUUGUUAUGAUUUUAUACAAAUGAGAUGCUUGCGAAUCAGAUGUCUGCGAUUUAUACAAAUCAGAUGCUCCACAACAAACUGUAGAGCGCAAAUAGCAAAACUGUAGCUAUAGAGCGCUAAUAUGAUUUUAAUGUUUGUUAUUCCUAAAAUUUCCUCUUAAAAUUUAAUAUUUCUAGAAGUUCAUUAAUUAAUUGAGGCAUAUAGGUAGAAAAAAAUUUUCUUUCUUGAUUUGUUAAAAUGGACAAGUAAAAAGGGUCAACUAAAAAAGGAAAAGUGGACAAGUAAUUAGGAACAAUGGGAGUAUUUAAUUACUACUUCCUUUGCCCAACAAUAAUUGUCCAUUAUACUAAAAAUAGUUGUCCAACAAUACUUAUCCAGUUUAGAAAAUCAAGAGAUAUUUUACCUUUUGUGUCUAUUUUACCCUUGCUAUUACAUAUUAUUUAUCAUCUAACACAUUUUUCAAAAUAUUAAAUUUAAUAAAAUCAAAAGAUAAAAUAAAACUAAAGUAUACAAAUAUAGUGCCUUAAUAACCACUAUAUAACAAUAGUUUUAUUUUUCACCAACAUAGCAAUAGUUUUUUUUCAAAUCUAUGAAAUAGUAUUAUAAAAAAAAACACAGGUAGGGUAGUAAUAUGACCCACAAUUUUCUCCCCUGAUUCUCUCCAUUAUUUUACCUUCCACAAUUUACUCCACUUGGUUAUAUGUCCUCUCCCAUAAAAAAAAAGUUUUUAAACCAAAAUAAACCUUUCUACCUCCCUAUUCUGAAAGAUUAUUCAAUUAUGGAUAUCAAUGGUGUUUCAAUUCCAAUUCAACACAAUGGACAAUGAGACGCAUUGUAACACUCCAAAAAAUAGUAGGUUGAAUUAGAGCCUAAACGUAAGGGUAAAGAUCAUAAAAUGACUCCCCGAAUGUUAAUAAGUCAUUUAGGGUUGAAAUGAGGUUUACAAGGGUCAAAGCCAAGAGGCAAGAGCCAAGGCCAAGACUGCGCCUAGCCUAGGCACACUGCUUCACCCUUCACGAGGGGACCACGAACCAUGGUCCUCACCAUGGGUCGUGAAGGGGGUUCGUGAGCUUACUUGGCCAUGGAAAAUGGCCACCCUUUGGCAUAACAACUACCUCAACUUCACGGAAGGGACCACUACUCGUGGAGCCCUUCGUGAAUGAGACUUGGGCAUGGUGGCAUUGGGGCACAAAGAAGCCUAGCUACUGCUUCACCCUUCACGAGUGUGACCACGAAUCGUGGUCCAUUCCACGACUCGUGAAGGGGCUCGUGAAGAUGCCUUAGGAAAAUGAGCCUUGUGCUCCAAAAUCAAGGGCACUGCCUCACAUUCACGAGCAGGACCACGGGUCGUGGUCCACACCAUGGCUCGUGAAGGUGUCCCAUGGUCCCUGACGAGGUGACUUAAAUGAAGGUUAGUUGGGUCAUUUUCUUUUUAGUCCAAUUAAAGUGAGGUCGUUUUGGGUAGUUUUUAGGGGUACUAUACAAGUUGACUUUAAGUCAAAUUCACCCAAUUUUAGUCAUUAGUUCACAACACCCAAAUAUUCCCAAAAAUCCUCUCCCUCACAAUAUUUCUCUCACUAGAAAUCCUCCAUUGAAGAAGACCAAGAACUUGAAGGCUAGGGCUCAAGAAUCCAUCUUCUCAACUCCAAUUCGUGGGGAUAUCUUCAAUCAAUGUAUGGGGUCUUGAUUCAUGGAAAGCUUUCUUCCCCGAAGACCUAAAACUCUCAAUUUCAAAUUAGUUGAUUCUUCAAAUUCUAGGGUUUUCAAUCUACUACAAGGGUUCUUCCUAAAAACGAUUUCAAUGGGUUAAUUGACUAUUAUUAUGAUUGAAUUGUUGUUUAUUGGUGAUUUUAUGAUAAAAUUCCUCAUGAACCCAUGAAUAUCCUCUUGACCCAAUUUCAUGAAUUGUGAUGGGUGUAUUGAUGCAAGAUGAAUACUAUGAAUUGUGUCUAUGGUAUUUUAGUUAUUGAAAUCAGGUUGUUAUUCAUGCCUAUUGUAGUAUUUCUAGGAGUGAUUGUGAGACACGGCUCAUGACCCUUGAAGGGUAGAUUAUGAGGGUUUGUACAUGUUGAUGAAAAUUAUGUAUGAACUUAUAGUUCACUUAGAAAGUGAAGAUCCUAUGACUAUUGUGUGCAUUGUGGUAUUCUUGAAAGGUAAUUCUCCCCUUACCCCUACAUAUGAUUAUGCAUGAAGGAUGUAUGUAUGUUAUGAUAAGCUCGUUGUGUUGAUUGAAAGGCCAUCCUCAUGAACACACUAUGCACAUGAUGUGAAAGGUUUAUUCACAUAUUGUUGAUUCUAAGGUUGAAAGGCUAAUUCUCACCUAAUUUAUCUAUGAGCUACCAUGAUACCAUGUUGGGUUGAGUUGCUAUUGCAUCCUACCAUGAACAUGAACUUAAGUAAAGACUUAACACGAACUUAAAGGGAAUUAUGCUUAGCACCGAGUGGAUAUGGUUAUGAGACGGAAGCUUUUAUGCAAGUUAGUUCGACUUUCCAACACGAUUAUCUCAUGAGAUAGAAACCUUUUACCUAAGUUAGUCCGGGUUUCUAGAAGCAAUCUCCCUAUCCCUUAACUAUGUGCCGACAUAGGUCUUUAGCUAAUGGAUCCACCUAAAAGCUAAUACAUGUUAGUUCUACCUUAGGCAAGUAGGACACUUUUUUCGGUGUCAAAUUACAUGACACCGGAUUCCAUAUAGCUCACAUGGUCUAUGUCGGUUAAGGCUAUUUUCCCUACAUUGACAAGAUUAUAAAUAUGACACACACUAUACUCAUGACUUCUUAAUAAGCUUUACUUAGUAGGAGUGGGGGUAUGAGACUUCACUUUUACAUUGCACAAGUAGACUUUGCAAGGGGUUGUGGGGUGGUUUCUAAUGCUAUGAAAACGUAUGAAUGUAUGCAUAUAAGUUGAAUGGAUUGUUUCUAUGGAUGACUUUCCUUAUGUACAAGUUAAUGUACAUAACUAUUUCCUUAUCUAUGACUAUUGACUAUGAUGAGAUCCAAGGAUGAUAUGUAUGAAUAAGGUGGCCUCAAAGGGGUAGUUAGUAUGGCUGGUAUUAUGGGAUGCCAACCAUACAUGGCACAAGUAUUCCUUAAGGUUGCUAAGGUGAUGGUUCUAUUAUGUUGAAAAGAUUUAUAUGAUGAAUAUAUUAUGACAUGUGUUUUACCUUAAAAGUGCAUGCUGAUUCUCAAACUUGACAAAUGCAUUCAUUUCAAAUAAAUUGUCCUUUUUUAUUCAUGUUUUAAGGAUUUUUAUGCAUGCUUCCAUAUUUAGUACAUAUUUGUGCUAACCCCAUUUCUUCUACAUUUUCUCCAAAGUGUAGGUUCCGGGCAUAUUAGUGUUUUCUUCCUUGGCUAAGGAUUGGAUUGCUUAUCUCCAAGACUUGUGGUGAGUCCUCACGGUUCAAGGACAAGAGUCUACUAUUCUAGUUACUUUAUUUUUGUUCUAUAUUUGAGACGUUUUCGAUUGUAAAGGGUUGUGACCCUAUCGACAUUCUAUUGUAGUAGAUGGAUUAUGAGAUAGUGUCUAGUUUUCUUACGAUUUAUGAAAGACUUUGAUUGUUAAAAAGUUUUAAAUUCCGCAUCAUUUUCAUUUUCUAUGUAUAUGAUAUUCUAAGGGCUUGUAUGUGACCCAUUUGGGGUCAAGUACUAUGUAUCGCGUCUGGGGUGUAGACUCAGGUUGUGACAAACUUGGAAUCAGAGCAUAAGGUUUUAGAAUUAAUUUUUUGGUUGAUGUCUCAUAAAUCACGUCUAGUAGAGUCUUAUUCAUGAGUGUGAAGCGCGCCACACUUAUGAAUGAGAGGUUAUGUGAUGUUUAGGAAAGUUCACUUCAUUCAUUAUUCCUUAGUCGUGCUUUAGAGUUUUAACUUUAUGCAGUCCUUUUCCUAACCCUUCUCUUGUGUUUAUACGCUAUGAAUACAAGAAGGGUGAAUGCAAGAAGGAUGGAAGAGGAGAAUGUGAAUGAGGGAUUUCCUCCCCAAGCUCCCAAAGAUCCUCAAGCACCUAUUGAUGAGGGGGCUAUGACAAAUGUGGAAAUAAGGGCGGCUCUCCAAACAUUGACUUAAGUCAUGACGGCUCAAGCUCAAGCCGUGACAACUCAAGCCCAAGCUAUGACGGCCCAAGCCAACCGAAAUGUUGGUCCCCGUGUGAAUCCUAAUGUGAGCACCGUGGCUUCAAGGUUGGGAGAUUUCACAAGGAUGAGUCCUCCUAUGUUCUUUGGUUCCAAAGUGGAAAAGGAUCCACAAGGGUUUAUCGAUGAGAUCUAUAAGGUGCUUGAUGCUAUGAGAGUGUCUUCACAAGAGAAGGCGAAAUUAGCCGCCUAUCAAUUAAAGGAUGUGGCUCAAGUAUGGUAUGAGCAAUGGAAGGGUAAGAGAUCCGUAGGAGCGGGAUCGGUAGAAUGGGAAUUGUUCAAGUCAUCCUUUCUUGAUAGAUUCUUUCCCCUAGAGUUGAGGGAACGAAAAAUGCAAGAGUUCAUAAAUCUUCGACAAGGGGGUUUGAGUAUGAAAGAAUAUGCCCUUAAGUUCACUCAAUUGUCUAAAUAUGCUACAACAUUGGUGUCAGAUUCUAGGGACAAGAUGAACAAAUUUGUUAUGGGGAUAUCCGACUUGGUAGUCAAUAAAUGUCGUUUGGCAAUGCUCAUUCCAAGUAUGAAUAUUUCAAACAUGAUGGUUCAUGCCGAACAAAUUGAGGAGCAAAAUCUCAAGCAAAAAUAAAAUUUGAUUCGCCUAUCUAAUUGUGCAAUUUCUGUCUCCUCGCUCCUCUCUUUAUUAAUUGUUUAAAUGUUUAUUAUAUCACCUAGUUUUGCAUGCUUAACUAGUUAAAUAAUGAAUAACUGAAGUAACCUUAAUUGUUAAAUGUCAUUUAUCACUUAGUAAGCAUGUUUAAGUUAAAUAACCUAAAUAAUGAAGUGACCUUAAUUUCUACUUGUAACCCCCACAUAAAUUGCAUGAGAUACGGCCGGGACCCACAUUUAUGGACCUCGAGGGAUGCCUAACACCUUCCCCUCGAGGUAAUUUGAACCCUUACCCGAUCUCUGGUUUGUUUGACCUUAAGUUUAAUUAGUUAGGUUAGAUAGGUGCCUUAAUGCGCCUUAAUUCGUUAGGUGACGACUCUUCAAUCCAACCCAAAAUCCCAAAAGAGUUGUUAGGUCGAAGUCCAUUUUUGCGAAAAAAUGGGGCGCGACAGGGAGAUUGUCCCAUGCUCAAGGUCCAAGGAAGAGAGAACAAGCAAAAUCCUCCAAGUGGUUCAAAUUUCGAUGCUCCCAAGAAGAACCACUUUUAUGCUCUUCAAGCUAGAGGUGACCAAGAAAGCUCCCCGAAUGUGGUUAUGGGUAUGUUGAAAGUUUUUCUUAUUGAUGUCUAUGCACUUUUGGACCUCGGUGCCACUCUAUCUUUUGUGAUGUCUUAUGUGUCAAUGAGGUUUGAUGUUCCUCCGGAAGAAUUAUUAGAACCCUUUUCGGUUUCUACCCCAGUUGGUGACUCCGUGGUGGCUAAGAGGGUGUAUAGAAUAUGUCUCAUUUCCUUGUCCCAUAGAGUUACUCUAGUUAACUUGGUAGAACUUGACGUGCUUGAUUUUGAUGUGAUUCUUGGUAUGGAUUGAUUGCAUGCUUGUUAUGCUUCUAUUGAUUGUAGAACCCGGGUGGUUAGAUUUCAAUUUCCAAAUGAACCUAUUUUAAAGUGGAAGGGUGGAAAUUCUAUGCCUAGAGGUCAAUUGGUUUCUUGUCUUAAAGCUAGGAAAAUGAUCUCCAAAAGGUGCAUUUACCAUCUUGUAAGGGUAAAGGAUGUUGAAUCUGAAACCCCUCCUCUAGAGUAGGUUUCGGUUGUGAGUGAGUUUUCGGAUAUUUUUCCCAAUGAUUUUCUCGGUAUUCCUCCCGAACGGGAAAUAAAUUUUGGUAUUGACGUUAUCCCGGAUGCGCAACCUAUCUUGAUUCCUCCUUAUAGAAUGGCUCUGGUGGAGUUGAAGGAGUUGAAAGAACAAUUAAAAGAUUUGCUUGACAAGGGUUUUAUGCGACCAAUCAUCUCUCCAUGGGGUGCUUCGGUAUUGUUUGUUAGGAAUAAGGAUGGAACUCUUAGAAUGUGUAUUGAUUAUCUGCAAUUGAACAAGGUAAGCAUUAAGAACAAGUAUCCACUUCCUAGAAUUGAUGACUUAUUUGACCAACUUCAAGGGGCUAGCUACUUUUGCAAAAUAGACCUUCGUUCGGGAUAUCACCAACUAAGGGCAAGAGGGGUUGACAUUCCCAAGACGGCUUUCCGAACUAGGUAUGGGCACUAUGAGUUCCUUGUGAUAUCAUUUGGUCUAACUAAUGCCUCGGUGACAUUUAUGGACCUUAUGAAUAGGUUUUUUCGGCAAUAUUUCGACAUGUUCGUCAUUGUGUUUAUCGAUGAUAUCUUGAUCUAUUCUAGAAGUGAGAAUGACCAUAUGGACCAUUUGAGAAUUGUGUUGCAAGUCCUCAAGGAUCAUCAAUUAUUCACAAAGUUUAGUAAAUGCGAGUUUUGGCUAAGGUAUGUGGCAUUCCUAGGUCACAUUGUGUCAAGCAAGGGUACAGAGGUAGAUCCAAAGAAGACGAACUCGGUCAAGAGUUGGCCUAGACCUCUAUUACCAACCGAUAUUAGAAGCUUCUUGGGUUUGGCCGGCUACUAUAGGAGGUUUGUUGAGGGAUUUUCCUUUAUUGCUUCUCCUUUGACGGCUUUAACUCAAAAGAAGGCUAAAUUUGUGUGGUCGGAGGCUUGUGAGAAAAGCUUCCAAGAAUUGAAAGAUAGGCUUACAUCCGCUCCGGUAUUGACCUUGCCGAAGGUACCGAUGGUUUCGUUGUAUAUUGUGACGCUUCUAGAGUGGGUUUGGGAUGUGUCCUUAUGCAACAUGGGAAAGUAAUUGCCUGUGCUUCAAGGCAACUCAAGAUACAUGAGAAGAACUAUCCGACUCAUGAACUCGAGUUGGUGGCGGUAGUAUUUGCUUUGAAAAUAUGGAGACAUUAUCUAUAUGGGGUGCAUGUUGAUGUGUUCACCGACCGCAAAAGUCUCCAAUAUGUGUUUAGCCAAAAAGACUUGAAUCUCCGACAAAGAAGGGGGUUAGAACUUUUGAAGGAUUGUGAUAUGAAUGUCCUUUAGCACCCUGGCAAAGCCAAUGUAGUUGCCGAUGCCCUAAGUCGAUUGUCCAUGGGUAGUGUAGCCCAUGUGGAAGAUGAGAAGAAUGAGCUAGUUCGUGAUGUUCAUAGAUUGGCCCGGUACAACUAAUGGAUUCCACCAAGGGUGGUGUCACGGUCCAUAAUGCCUCCCAAUCUUCCUUUGUAAUGGAUGUCAAGGCAAAACAAGAACUUGAUCCUAUUCUAGUUGAAUUGAGAGAGUCGGUACUCAACAAGUCCGUUGAGGAUUUUCCCAAGGGGGAGAUGGGGUUCUUAGGUACCAAGGUCGAUUAUGUGUUCUGGAUGUUGAUGGCUUGAGAGAGAAAAUUUUAGAUGAAGCUCAUGGUUCGAGGUAUUCUAUUCAUUCGGGAGCCACCAAGAUGUACCGUAACCUACGGAAAGUCUAUUGGUGGAAUGGUUUGAAGAAGGAUAUAACGGAUUUUGUAGCCAAAUGUCUGAUUUGUCAACAAGUUAAGGCCGAACACCUAAGACCGGGAGGCUUGUCUCAAGAUAUAGAUAUUCCCACUUGGAAGUGGGAGGAUGUGAACAUGGACUUUGUUGUGGGUUUGCCUCGUACUUGAAGGCAACAUGAUUCUAUUUGGGUCAUUGUCGAUAGAAUGAAAAAAAUCCGCCCACUUUAUUCCCGUCAAGGUUUCCUUUUCGGCGGAAGACUAUACCAAAUUGUACAUCAAAGAGAUAAUGAAUAGUGAAGUUACAUGGGGUUCCUCUUUCUAUUAUUUUGGAUCGGGGUACUCAAUUUACUUCACACUUUUGGAAGGCAUUCCAAAAAGGGCUUGGUACUAAUGUUAAGCUUAGCACGACUUUUCAUCCUCAAACCGAUGGUCAAGUGAAACGUACCAUCAAAAUCUUAGAAGAUAUGUUUAGGGCAUGUGUUAUUGACUUCAAAGGUAGUUGGGAUGACCAUCUUCCAUUAAGAGUUUGCCUACAAUAAUAGCUACCACUCAAGUAUUACCAUGGUUCCUUUUGAAGCAUUGUAUGGUAGGAGGUGUAGAUCUCUGGUUGGUUGGUUUGAAGUAGGUGAGAUUGCUCUACUUGGUCCCGAACUAGUUUAUGAGGCUAUUGAAAAAAUCUGACUCAUUAAAGAGAGGUUAAGGAUGGCCCAAAGUCGGCAAAAGUCUUAUGCCGAUGUUAGAAGGAGGGACCUAGAGUUUGAAGUCAAUGAUUGGGUCUACUUGAAAAUCUCACCUAUGAAAGGUGUGAUGAGGUUUGGCAAAAAGGGGAAACUUAGUCCCCGGUAUGUGGGUCCCUAUAGAAUUUUGAAGCGUAUUGGGAAAGUGGCCUAUGAGUUAGACUUGCCAAAUGAAUUGGCUCCGGUUCACUCGAUAUUUCAUGUUUCUAUGCUAAAGAAGUGCAUUGGUGACCCGGUGUCCAUCAUUCCUUUAGAAGGUUUGGGGAUUGAUAAGAGUCUUUCAUAUGAAUAGAUUUCGAUAGAGAUCUUAGAUCGGAAAGUUAAAAAGGUUGAGGAAUAAGGAAGUAGCUUCCGUUAAGGUUUUAUGGAGGAAUCAUUUAGUUGAGGGUGCUACAUGGGAGGCCGAGGCCGAUAUGAAGUCCCGAUGUCCUCAUAUUUUUCCUUCUACUCCUAUCCAAGCUUGAGGUAAGUAGUUUCUCUUGAGUUUAGUGUUUUGGGAGUCAUGUGUGUUUCAUGUGUUUUUUAUAUGAUUUCCUUAUGAUUGUAUGUCCUUGUGAGAAUUCAUGUUUAGUUUAAAAUGAGUGUUCAUGAUAUAUAUAUAUAUAUAUAUAUAUAUAUUCCUCAUGUUGUUGUGCAUUUUAGUAUGAUGAUUGCAUAUUUGACUUCAUGAGACGAUUUGAUGAACAUGUUAUGCUAUACUUGUGAUGAUAUGGCAUAUUGGCUCCAUAAUGUUGUGUUGAGCUUAUUCUAGUUGAAGAAGGUAGUUCCUCCUAUGCUUAUGUGAAAAGAUGAGUUUUGUGCAUAAUGGGUUGUAGAUGUAGUUCCUACUUCCUUGUAUUGCAUUGAUUAUGUCUUGAGAUGGAGUUGAUGUUUCCUCCUUUGAAUUAUGCAUUAUUUUGAUGUUGCUUAUUCGAUGGGAUGCUAGUCUUGAGUCUUUAAUUCCGUAAGGUGUCUAAAUUUUCAUUUGAGGACAAAUGUUCCCAAGGGGGAGAUAAUGUAACAAUCCGGAAAAUGGUAGGUUGAACUAGAACCUAAACGUAAGGGUAAAGAUCAUAAAAUGACUCUCCGAAUGUUAAUAAGUCAUUUAGGGUUGAAAUGAAGUUUACAAGGGUCAAAGCCAAGAGGCAAGUGCCAAGGCAAAGGGGCUAAGCCAAGGCCAAAGGCCAAGGCUGCCCCUAGCCUAGGCACACUGCCUCACCCUUCAUGAGAGGGACCACGGACUGUGGUCCUCACCAUGGCUCAUGAAGCUUAAUUGGCCAUGGAAAAAUGGCCACCCUUUGGCAUAGCCACUGCCUCAACUUCACGGAAGGGACCACGGCUCAUGGAGCCCUUCGUGAAGGAGACUUGGGCAUGGUGUCUUGGGGGCAUGAAGUAGCGUAGCUAAUGCCUUACCCUUCACGAGUGUGACCACAGAUCGUGGUCCACUCCACGACUCGUGAAGGGGCUCGGGAAGAUGCCUUAGGCAAAGGAGCCUUGUGCUCUAAAAUCAAGGACACUGCCUCACCUUCACGGGCAGGACCACGGAUCGUGGUCCACACCACGACUCGUGAAGGUGGCCCGUGGUCCCUGACGAGGUGACUUUAAUGAAGGUUGUUAGUUGGGUCAUUUUCUUUUUAGUCCAAUUAAAGUGAGGUCGUUCUGGGUAUUUUUAGGGGUACUAUAUAAGUUGAUUUUAAGUCAAAUUCACCCAAUUUUAGUCAUUAAUUCACAACACCCAAAUAUUCCCAAAAAUCCUCUCCCUCACAAUAUUUCUCUCACUAGAAAUCCUCCAUUGAAGAAGACCAAGAACUUGAAGGCUAGGGCUCAAGAAUCCAUCUUCUCAACUCCAAUUCAUGGGGAAAUCUUCAAUCAAGGUAUUGGGGUCUUGAUUCAUGGAAAGCUUUCUUCCAUGAAGCCCUAAAACUCUCAAUUUCAAAUUAGUAGAUUCUUCAAAAUCUGGUUUUCAAUCUACUACAUGGGUUCUUCCUAAAAACGAUUUCAAUGGGUUAAUUGACUAUUAUUAUGAUUGAAUUGUUGUUUAUUGGUGAUUUUAUGAUAAAAUUCCCCAUGAACCCAUGAAUAUCCCCUUGACCUAAUUUCAUGAAUUGUGAUGGGUGUAUUGAUGCAAAAUGAAUACUAUGAAUUAUGUCUAUGUUAUUUUAGUUAUUGAAAUCAUGUUGUUAUUCAUGCCUAUUGUAGUAUUUCUAGGAGUGAUUGUGAGACACGGCUCAUGACCCUUGAAGGGUAGAUUAUGAGGGUUUGUACAUGUUGAUGAAAAUUAUGUAUGAACUUAUAGUUCACUUAGAAAGUGAAGAUCCUAUGAUUAUUGUGUAAAGUGUGGUAUUGUUAAAAGAUCAUUCUCCCCUUACCCUUACACAUGACUUUGUAUUAAUUGUCUAGGAUGAUGAUAAUGUUGUUGUGUUGAUUGAAAGUAUGUAUGUUAUGAUAAGCUCGUUGUGUUGAUUGAAAGGCCAUCCUCAUGAACACAUUAUGCACAUGAUGUGAAAGGUUUAUUCACAUAUUGUUGAUUCUAAGGUUGAAAGGCUAAUUCUCAUCUAAUGAAUCUAUGAGCUACCAUGAUACCAUGUUGGGUUGAGUUUCUAUGGCAUCCUACCAUGAACAUGAACUUAAGUAAAGACUUAACACAAACUUAAAGGGAAUUAUGCUUAACACCGAGUGGAUAUGGUUAUGGGAUGGAAGCUUUUACACAAGUUAGUCCGUCUUUCCAACACGAUUAUCUCAUGAGAUGGAAACCUUAUACCUAAGUUAGUCCGGGUUUCUAGAAGCAAUCUCCCUAUCCCUUAACUAUGUGCCCAUAUAGGUCUUUAGCUAGUGGAUCCACCUAAAAGCUAAUACAUGUUAGUUCUACCUUAGACAAGUAGGACACCUUCUUUCGGUGUGGGGUUACAUGACACCGGAUUCCAUGUAGCUCACAUGGUUUAUGUCGGUUAAGUCUAUUUUCUCUACAUGAAAAGAUUAUGAAUAUGACACGGACUAUAUUCAUGACUUCUUAAUGAGCUUUACUUAGUAGGAGUGGGGGUAUGAAACUUCACUUUUACAUUGCACAAGUAGACUUUGCAAGGGGUUGUGGGGUGGUUUCUAAUGCCAUGAAAAUGUAUGAAUGUAUGCAUAUAAGUUGAAUGGAUUGCUGCUAUGGAUGACUUUCCUUAUGUUCAAGUUAAUGUACAUGACUAUUUUCUUAUCUAUGACUAUUGACUAUGAUGAGAUCCAAGGAUAAUAUGUAUGACUAAGGAGGCCUCAAAGGGGUACUUAGUAUGGUUGGUAUUAUGGGAUGCCAACCAUACAUGGCACAAGUAUACCUUAAGGUUGCUAAGGAAAUGGUUCUAUUAUGUUGAAAAGAUUUAUAUGAUGAAUAUGUUAUGACUUGUGUUUUACCUUAAAAGUGCAUGGUGAUUCUCAAACUUGACAAAUGCAUUCAUUUCAAAUAAAUUGUCCUUUUUUAUCAUGUUUUAAGGAUUUUUAUGCAUGCUUGCAUAGUUAGUACAUAUUUGUGCUAACCCCAUUUCUUCUAAAUUUUCUCCAAAGUGUAGGUUCCGGGCAUUGAAAUGUUUUCUUCCUUGACUAAGGAUUGGAUUGCUUAUCUCCAAGACUUGUGGUGAGUCCUUAUGGUUCAAGGACAAGAGUCUACUAUUCUAGUUACUUUCUUAUUGUUCUACUUUUGAGAUGUUUUCGAUUGUAAAGGGUUGUGACCCUAUUGACAUUCUAUUGUAGUAGAUGGAUUAUGAGACAGUGAUUAGUUUUGUUACGAUUUAUGAAAAAGACUUCGAUUUUUAAAACGUUUUAAAUUUCAUAUCAUUUUCAUUUCCUAUGUAUAUGAUAUGCUAAGGGCUUGUAUGAGACCCCUUCGGGGUCAAGUACACCGUGUCGCGUUUGAGGUGUAGACUCGGGUCGUGACACGCAUCAGGUAUGUAUGAUAACUAACGACUGAAUUUGUGAUUCUUUUAAUCAAUGUAUGUAACAUAUUUGGUGUUUUUAUUUUCUUGAUAGUUAUCUUAUAAUCUAUCUGGUUGGUACAUGUUUUUUGUUACAGGAACUAGGUGUUUAUUUCUUGAAUUCUAAUUCGAAAUCGUCCGACCAUAAUAAGAUUGUAUGAUUGUAUAUGACGGUGUAUUUUAAAUCGUUUAAAAACAUCAUUUUUUGAAAUUAAAAUUGGGUAGAUUGUGCAGUGUAAUUAAUAGUGUAUAUUAACUUGUUAUUAAUUUGUCAAUCCGUGAUUAUUUUUAGCAUCUGUUUUGGUGUAAUUGUGAGGAUUUUUUAAGUUGAUUAUGAAAUCCAAAUUUAGUGAUUGUAUUUUGGAAGAUGAUUUUGUCAAAUUAAUAGUCUAUUUUAAGUCGUGUAUUAACGCCAAAUUAUGUGAAUAUUUUUAGAUAAAUUAGUAGGUGUAAUUGAUAGUGUAUUUGCUAUAAAUGAUCUGGUGUAAAAUUGUAAAUUAGGUUUUUAAUAAGCACCAACAUUCGUUAUUUUUGGUAUAUUUUCUGGUGUAAUUGAUAUAUUUUUGGUACAGUUAUUGAAGUAAUUGUUAGAUUUUAGGUCUUUUGUAAACAUCAUAUUUGAGAUAUAUGAAUUUAUUGUUAAUGACUUUGUAGUCUUUCGUGUAUUUGAUUUUUGGUUGAAUUAAGGCAUAUCGAUGUGCUGGUGAAUUUGAUAUAGUUUAGAUAAUUUAUUUAUAUAUAUACACCAAAUUUGCUUGGUGUAUGUGUAUGUGUCUGUGGUAUAUCUAGUGUUUUUGAUAAAAUUAUGGUGUAUAUUUUGGUGUAGAUCAUAUAUUAUUAAUCAUAUUUAACCAUAAUAUGCACCACUUAGUUUAUGUACUACUUUGUUUAAUCAUAAUAUGCACCACUUUAUAUAUGAUUUUUUUUUGGUGAUACAAAAAAACUUAACUAUCUAUUUCAAAUUUCACUGUUAAAAUUUGUGUUUAGUAUGUUUUUUAACUUUUCGUUGAAAUGUAUCGCAGGAAGGUAUGUGGAUUUCAAGACCAAAGAAAUUAUUUAUGAUGCAAACACUAAUUACGACAUCGUAAUUAAGGUUGCAAAAAAAUCAAUUGAAUAUAUUUUUGUGAUGUAAAAUUAUGAUUUCUAUAUGUAUUUAAUGUAAUUGUUUGAUAUGUUGGUAUUGCUUUGUAAAACAACAUCAUAGAUACAAUACUUUGUAAUUUAUUUAUUUUUACGAAUGAAAAUUUUAUCAAAAAUACUAAUGAUCUUUUCAUAUUUUUUUGUCUAGUUAUUCAUUAAUUUGAUGAUAAUAAUUGAUAGAUAGUUGAUCGCAUUAUCGUAUAAGACAUAAUACAAUUGAAACAUAUAACAAAAAUCAAUUUUACAACACGUGAUUUGUUAUCAUUGUGGUUAAAACAAUUGUACACCAAACUUAAUCUAUAAUGUACACCACUUAAUAUACACAACUUUUAAUUAAAACUAUAAAAUAAUAUUUUUAGUGUAAUGGUUUAUAAUAUGUAUGAAAUUUGAUUAUAUUUUGGUGCAAGUUAUUCAUUAUGGUUUAAAAAAUAAACACUAAUAUUAAUUCUUUUUGUAUAACUAAAAUAUAUAAAGUUAAAGAGAGAGAAGUAAAAAAAAGAUUUGUCCAAAAAAAUUGAACCGGAAUUGAAGAGAGAGAAAGAAGAGGAGAGAAAUCUUUUUCCAAAAAAUAAGAGAGAGAAAAAAAGGACGUAGUUAAGGAGAGAAAAAUGGUUAUGAUUACAUAGAUGGUACAUAUGUUUGUGUAUUAAAUGGUUGCCAACUUGCCAUGAUAUAACUCUUUGAUAUUACUAUGAGGUAUUAAAUGGUAUAAAAUUACCUAUAACAUUAAAGUAUAUUAUAUUUAAAUUGAAACUAUAUCUAAUUAUAUACCAAUCUAAAUAUGAUUCAGUAAAACCUAAAUAUUUCAAAAAUGGUUAUGUAACAUACAUAUUCCAUAUAUUUAAAAAAGUUUGUUUUCUUUAUGCUACUAAUGAUUUUUUUUUGGGAAAAAAUGACAUAGCAUGACAACCUAUAGACUUUAUUGGCAAUAAAUAGCCCACUUUAAAUUUUUUAUCAAAAAAAGAAUUUUUUAAUAUUUAUUUGGGAUUAAAUAGCCACAUUCUUUUUUUUUUAAAAUGAUAUUUUUUCCUGAUUUUCUCUCUAUUUCCUAGCAAUUAGAGAGAGAAAAUCCUUAUAAUUUGUUCCUUUUUUCUUUUCCUUAUAAUUUGUCAACAAUUUUUUUUUUUAUACGUAUUUUUCAAUUCUUUCUUUCUUUCCUUUUUUUUUUUCUCCCUUUUUCAAGUUUAGGAUUUCUAUCUUUUUCUUUGAAAUAUUUUCAUUAAAGAUCAAUCACAAUAGUAACUUUUCACAACAAGUAACUCAAACCAUACUAAUUUUUUUAAUAUUGAUUGUCUGGGUUAUUUUAAAAAAAAGUUGAGAUUUCUACUUUUUUUAUCUUGUAGUUGGAUGCAAGAUUUUUUCUUUUUACAAAUUUUCGUAUUUGUAUUAUAAUUUUACAACUUUUCUUCGGCCAAAAACUGCAACGUUUCGUGAUUUCUGGAAUUGACAUUUUUUUCAAUUUUUAAUAAAUAAUAAAUUAAUAUAUUUAUGACAAUUUUUUGAAAUAUUGAAUUUCGUUGAUUGAAUUUGAUAAUGAAUAUUUAUUUUAUUAAUAAAUAAUAAAUUAAUAUAUUUGUUAAUGAAUACAAAUGAACAUAUAACAAUGUAAAAUUAUCUAAUUUGUUAAAUGAAUUUCGUUGAUUGCAUUCCAAAAUAGUAAAUGCAAACAACUGUAUACCUAUGUAAAGUUAGAAAGAUACUAAUGCAAACAAAUGUAUACCAAUUUAUAAAUGAAUAUGGACGAAUGUAUCCAAUACAAAUGUAUACCUAUGUAAAAUUUGAAAGAUAUUAAUGCAAAUAAAUAUAAAUGUAUACCAAUUUAUUAUGAAUACUAACAAAUGUAUCCAAUACAAAUGUAUGUCAAUCUAUUAGAUGAAUACGGAUUAAUGAAUACCAAUGCAAACAAAUGUAUACAAAUUUGUUAAAUGAAUAUGGAUUGAGUUCAAAGGCAAAAUAAUUGGCAGGUAAUGAACUCAUAGGAAUACCUUUGAAAUAAGAAUAAUCAUAAUCAAAAUAUUAUUUGCUAAUUUUAAGAAAAAAUAUAAUUCUAAAUAGUAUUUUGCUAGUUUUAAGUGAAAAUGGUUGGAAGAUACGAAACAAAUAUGUUUGUGGGAAGAGAGAGAAAACUUUUUUACCUUUGAAAAGUCAAAAAGUAAAUACUCCUUUCGUUCCUAUUUUAUGUGAGAUAGUUUGAUUCGGCACAGAGUUUAAGAAAGAAAGAAAGAUUUUUAAAAUUUGUGAUCCAAAAUGAAUGAUAGAAAUUUGUGUGGCUGUAAAUCAUUUUAUUAAGGGUAAAAUAGACAUUUUAUAGUUAAAUUGUUACUUAAUAUAGAAAUAUAUCAUUUUUUUUGGGACUGACUAAAAAAUAAAGUAAGUCACAUAAAUUGGGACAGAUGGAGUAAUGAUUAUCAAUCCCAUAAAAUUAGCACAUAACCCCCUUAAAAAGGAAAUAAAUACAGAUACUAAAAUAUAAUUUUUUUUUGGAGAAUUAAAUAUUCUGUUAUGUUUGUAAUUAAAAAUCUAGUUUUGUAAAUAAAAAAGAAUAUAUACAUAUAUUGUUAAUUAAGAUCUUAAAUACUCCCUCCGUCCCAUUUUAUGUGAUGUAGUUUGACUGACACGGAGUUUAAGAAAGAAAGGAAGAAUUUUAAAACUUGUGGUCCAAAAUGAAUGAUAGAAAUUUGUGUAGCUGUAAAUUAUUUCAUUAAGGGUAAAACAGACAUUUUAUAGUAAAAUUGUUACUUAAUAUAGAAAUAUGUCAUUCUUUUUGGGAUUGACUAAAAAUGAAAGUAAGUCAUAUAAAUUGGGACAGAGGGAGUAGUAUGUUUUUGUAAUUUUUUCAUUGUGGAGUAAUAUUAACCCUAUUAUUUAUUACUCCCUCUGUUCAACAAUAGUUGUCCACUAUACUAUUUUGAGAUGUCCAACAAUACUUGUCCACUUUAUGAAAUUAAUGGAUAAUUUUACACUUAGUUCCUAAUUAAUUUCCCUAUUACAUUUUUCAAGACAUUGUAUUUAUUAUAUUCAAAGGGUGAUAUAGUAAAAUUACCGUUCUAUUUAUAAUUUCUUAAGAAGUGUGCCAAAUCAAUAGUGGACAACUAUUGUUGGAUAAAAAUAAUAUUUCUUAAGAGAGUGCCAAGUCAAUAGUAAAUACUCCCUCUGUUUCUAAUUACUUGUCCACUUUUGAAUAGACACACCUAUUAAGAAAAUAAUUAUUGUCAUAGUGAAUUUACUAUUUUAUCCCUAUUAAUUAUGAAGUGGAUGAUUUAAACAACUUAAGAUUUUUAAGAAGUUCUAUAUUUUUCAAAAUAAUUGAUUGAUGGUAUAAUAUAUAAAAAAAAUUGUUCUUUCUUAAUUUGUCAAAAUGGACAACUAAUUAGGGAUAACUAAAAACAAAAAAACAGACAAAUAAUUAGAGACCGAGGGAGUAACUACUAUGGUUGGAAUACUAGUUUUUAUACAUUGGAAAUGAUGAGAAUAAUGAUUAAAGUGUUUGAGUUUGUGUUGCAUGACUCUUCAUCUUCUCCCUCUCCAUUAAAUUAAAUUAUUUUAUUAAUUACUUUACUACUUAUAAAUAAAUAAAUACUGUAAAAGAAACGUAUCUAUCCUCAGACUAGUUUGAAGAUGGAAGAUGGUAGUCCAACAACCUGUUCCCAACCCCAAGGUAUGUAUUUUAGUAUGCAAAUAAGUUACAAACAGCAUUGUUGAUUGUUGGUAUGCAGAUUGUGAGGAAAUGCUAAGGAGAGGAAAAUUGAUGCCUGCUGCUGCGGCUGGUGGUUCAUCUAUUAACAAAAAAAUGAUUAAGAAAAACAGAGCUUCUUCAGAAAAAGUUGGUGCCUGGAGCAAAGAGGAUGAAAUCACAAUCCUAAAGGGACUCAUAAAGUUGAAAACUGAAAAAGGGAAAAAUAGGUUUGAUUAUGUUCAACUUUAUGAGUCCAUUAAACAAUCUGUUGGUCACAAAUCAGCCACAGCACUUCAUUUGCAAAAAAAAGUCAAGUCUCUUAGGGAGAAAUACAAGAACAAUUUAAAGAACAGCAGGACUCCUACCAUCCCACAUGAGGAAGAGUUGUUCUACUUAAGUGACAAAAUUUGGGGCAAGGACGAUCAUCACAUUAUGAACCAACAACUUACAAUUCCUUCUUCCAGUUUGGAUAUGAACCAACAAUUUACAAUUUCUUCUCCGGAAGAAUCUGAUACAACUUUUGUCGGAGACCUAGGGCUAGCGUUAACAACUAUGAGCAGGAAUCAGUCUAAUCCACUGCAAGUAGCUCUUCAACAAUUCAAGUUAGUUUCUCAAAGUUUGAGUAUUAGGAAGAGUUAUGCCAACCAAAUACUCCAGGCCCCAAAAAAGGUAGUAUAUAUAAUCCUUUUCAUUUUCUUAUCAACUAAUGUGAUGGUUUACUAGUUUGUUUUAAAGAUUUUUACGCUUCUCAUGUUAUUAAAUUCCUCUCCUUGGCUUAAAAAUUAAGUUGUGUAUCUGAGUACUGUUGUUGUCUGUGCAAUUUUAUGAUUUAUAUUUUGCUAUGCUAAACUUCUUUGUCUUGGUACCUUCCAAGUGCGUCUAUUUUUUUUUCUUACCAAUAACUUUUAUACAAGGAGGAACUUUCUGAACUAGAGGAACAAAAGAUAGCAAGGAGCUAUUUCGACACAAAGAUACAACAUGCACAAUUGGUUUCAGAUGCCUAUAAUGCUAGCCAUGGUUUUGGUAAGCUUUCUAUCUAGCUAAGAAUAUCUAGUUUUCAUAGUGUGUAAGGGGAAGAUUAAUCUUAUAUUGAUGUUGAUAUAUACUUGUUAUUGCUUGGAAUGAUCUGAAUCUGAAGCACUUUUAGGAGUUAGAUUCAUUGAUGAUCUAACCUAUAAUGCUAGCCAUGGUUUUGGUAAGCCUUCUAUCUAGCUAAGAAUAUCUAGUUUUCAUAGUGUGUAAGGGGAAAAUUAAUCUUAUAUUGAUGUUGAUAUAUACUUGUUAUUGCUUGGAAUGAUCUGAAUCUGAAGCACUUUUAGGAGUUAGAUUCAUUGAUGAUCAAUUGGGGCUUUUAUUUUCAAAUUAAGUAGUGUCUUUUUGUGCAUGAUUCCAGUUUUAAAAAUAGCCGCUGGUGCCAAAUAGGGUUCUGCAUAAGCAUCAACAAGCUUUUCACAUGUGGCGUUUCCUUUCAAGUGGUCUCUUGGGCCUUGCUCUCUUUCUGUUCACUUUAUCGAGUUAUAAGCAAUUAUUUUGUUGUUAGUGAGCUAAAUUAAUUAGGACUAUUUCAACAAACUUCUGGCACCGAAAAAACAAUAAUGAUAUCAAUCCCAAUUGUUAGCCUAACUUUGCCGUCCAUGAUUAGUCCAAAUUAUAUUAAGAUUCGGUCCUUGUUAUCCACAUGCCCUAGAAGUGGUUUUGCCCUAUUCACAAACUUUACGGUGCAUCAAAGAAUAUGUGUUCAGCAGGGGCAUAAAGGAUAGAAAAUAUAGUUUCUGUAGAACUUAUUUCUACAGUUUUGUAGACUUUCUAAUAAAUGCAUAAUACAUAAACAUACUCAAACUUAGCGUCUUAGCCUAACCUGACAAAUAAACACUUAAACUUUGAGAGUGCACAUCUAGACACCUCAACUUGGUCUCAACUAACAACUAAAUACUCCAACUCUACUCCAUUGUGUCUCGUGGACACUCAAAUUUGACAUGACGCAUAAAUAUUAGAGGUGUCUAGAUGAUAAUUUGUAAGUUAGAGUGUUCAACUGUCACACUGGAGAUGAGUUGAGUUGUCUAGAUGUGCCUACUCAAAGUGGGAGUGCUUACUUGCCAACUGAGGUGAAGUGUGAGUGUCAGUUAAUGUAUUAUGCCUUUUAUCUACGCUUUAACUUCAAUUUUGUUAAUUUAUUGUGGAAUGAACCUUUAGGAACUCGAUCCCAACUGGAUUCAUUCCUUCAUUUGAAAGAACCAUACUAAAUUAACCUUCAUAGAACAUAUCACCAAAUUCAUUUUUCUGGUAAUUUCAUACUUAUUUGCUAAUGGGAAAAGAAAUGAACAAGUUGUCCCCUAAAUAGGGGUAACAAUCCUUAGGGACUCCUAACCUUAAACAUCUAGCCCUUUCUGAUUUUGCGUGAUCAGGUCCAUCUACAUGAAACUUUGCGAUGUAGUUUGGCAUAACUUCUUCAGUAGGGGUCACAUAAGUGAUGGUACUAACAAUUGGAUUUGGUGUCUGUCUGGCUAGCAUUUCUGCUGCCAAAAGAUUGUGGAUCAACUAGCACACAAUCACACACAAAGCUAAUAGAGAAGAAAAAUAACACGAGAAUUUAACGAAGUUUGACUAAGCCUAAUCCUCCAAAUAGAAGCAGAGAGUUUUCCACUAUGAAAGAGAAGAAGUGUACAACGCUAAUUAAUCCCCAACUACAACCCCUAUAUAGAGACCUCAAAUAGUCCAAACCUAUAAAAGAAAGGUUCUUCCAAUCCUACAAGAACAAUGUAUUUUACUUUCCCAAAUCUAUUAGGACAAUGAGUUUCCUAAUCAUACAAGGGAAAAAUUCAAGGCAUAAUUAAGAAAUAUUACCCUUGGCUUGAAUUCUCUUCAUCAACAUGAAUGUCUCUUUGCCUUGCCCUGAACCCUAAAACGGGAUCUACUGAGUACUGCACCAAUCAAAUCUAGGCAAUGCGUAAACUUGUUGACCGAGACUGCCUUGGUCAUCAUAUCCUCCAAAAUAUCAUGUGUAGACAGCUUCUUCACAUCAACAACCCCUUUGCAGCCUAUUACCUUUUGUUCCUUUGGCAAUGAACCAAGCUUCCAUGCUUGAUGAAGAGAAUAAUACCAACCCACUAAUCAACUUCAGAACUAAAAAUAACUUCUUUAAUGCUAUUAGGCUCAAACACAUCAAUUGUCUCUGCAACUGACAAGGCAAAUUUUACAAGAUUUGCAUAUCCAAGAAGAUUCCCAUCAAACUACAUUUGCACACCUUUUUGGUCGGUUGAUCACUCUCUUCUCUUCUCUUCGCCUGUUGUAAUGCUAUAUGAUUGUUGUUGCAUAGGUGAAUCGACAUUAUCUUGAUUAAGGUUUUUCACCUCCUUCACUUCUGAACUACUGGGCGGUCACUGAUCUGUUUUUGGUAUUGCCUUCUCUCUCUGACAGUCCAGUGAGGCAGAUUCAUUGAAUGUCAUAUCCCUACUAAUAAUUAACACUGCAGCCUUCUAAUCUGCGCACUACAACUUGUAACCUUUCACUCCAGUUGCAUACCCUAGAAAUAUGCACGUCUUUGCCCUCGGCUUAAGUUUGCCAUCCUUCACAUGAGCAUAAGUAGGACAAUCAAAUAUCCUCAAAUUUGAAUAAUCAGCAGGCAAAUUGGAUCAUAUAUCAAAAAGGGUUUUGAAUUCAAUAUCUAUGGAUGGAGAUCUGUUGAUUGAAUGACAAGCUUUAUUGACUGCUUCAGCCAAAAAAACCUUGCUAACAUAUGAGUGUGAAAUCAUGCUUCAUGCCUUGUCACUAAGUGUUAUGUUCAUACGUUCUGCAACAUCAUUUUUUUGUUGUGUUCCAUCACAAAAUUGGUGUCUCACUAUGCCCUCUCUGCUGCAUCAAUCAUUGAUGAGUUGCAAAUUUAAACCUAUUGUCUGUCUGAAGACACUUGACUUUUCUUUCAGUCUUCAUCCAGUGUUGUCAAAAGCAAAAAGAACAAAAAAAGCUUUAUGUUUAUUGUUGCUUUAAGUGCAAAAUGCAAAUAAAGUGUGGAAUUUAAAGAAAUAAGACAUUAAGGGAGAGAAAAAAAACAAAUUUGUAUAUAAGUAAUCGUCAAUCAAAGUCAUAAUAUUUGGCAAUACUCUUGGAGGGAACUCUGUUUGGAGCCCACAAGUCUCAAUGUAUAUAAUCUAAAUUUGUUUUUGGUCUUGUGUUCUGCCUUCUUGUUCAACUUCACCAUUGUUUGUUUACCAAAACACAAUUGUUUGCUUACCAAAACACACAAUGUAACAAAAAUUCAAAACUUGAUUUUUGUAUUCAUCCAACAAAUUCUGCUUGCUCAACAAAGACAAUCCUUUGUCACUUAUAUGACCAAAUCGCAAGUGUCACAAUUGAGACUGAUUCUGAUCACUCUUUUCAGAAGGUACAAUUGCUUUUGUAUCAACUACUCUAGCUUGAAGAUAAUAUAAUAUAGGAUGCAACUUACCCUUCAUAAGUACCAUGGGCCCUUUACACACUUUAAGUGUCCCAUUACUUGAGUGAAACUUAUACCCUCGAUCAUCCGAAGAAAGAGAAAACAAUUUUUUCUUCAUUCGAGGAACACACCAAACUCAUUAUUUUUAAUAAUUCCAUUAAUGCACAAUGACCUACACCUUUAUGAGAAGAUUUAAUAUGAAAAAUUCAUUAUCCUCGGUUCUUGUUUUAGGUCCCAGAACCCUAGUUAUGGAGUUUAGUUAUUCAUAACUUUAUGCAAAGAAUAGGAGAACUGUCUAACUAAAUAACACUAAGAUAAAGAGAAACAUUAUGAACCUUGAAUUAAAACUCAGUUCUUGCAAUUUUAGAGUACAUCAUUAGUGAUCUUACAAUAAUUCCAUUCACAAUUCUAGGAAAAAUGAUGAAAGAAUUGCAAGAUUCUACAAGAUAAUGCUAGUAAUAACUCUCCAAAAAUAGUUGAUGUUAAUUCCUAAUGAUAUCAUGAUAAUCAAAACCCUAGAAAAGAUCUAUUUAUAGACCAUGUGAGAAAUACAUGAGAAAAAUAUUAUUGAAUUGUGCUUUAUCAAAAAAAUAUUAUUGAAUUGUGUAUCUACAUUAUUACACAGAGACUCUAUUUAUAGAAACUACAAUAUAAUCAUUUACCAAGUAGGAUACUAUUUACUAUUCCUAUUCCUAUUACUACUCCUAUUCAUAUUCCUAUUCCUAUUUCUAUUCCCAUUCUAAGUAGGAUUGUAUAUACCUAUUCCUAUUCUAACACUCCCCCUCAAGCUAGUGCAUACAAGUCAUAUGUACCUAGCUUGUUACAAAUGGAAUUAAUACGAGGACCCAUGAGGGGCUUGGUGAGAUAUCUGCAAGUUGAUCACUUGACUUCACAAAAUUAAUAGCCAAUCUCAAUGGCUUAGUCUUCUCAUGAAAUGUUGGAUUUAAUGCAUAAUGCUAGUUAAUCUCAAUGUACCUGGUCUUCUCAUGAAAUAUUGAAUUUGAUACAUAAUGUCGAUAAAACACAGAGUGAUAAAAUUAUAAUGUUGCACUUCCCAAAUCAAGCUUGAGAAGACAAGAUUGUUUCAGACCAUAGAGUGACUACACAAUCGACAUACAAGGCUACUGGAUUCCUCCUAAACAACAAAAUUAGGUGCUUGCUCCAUAUAGACUUCUUCCUCGAGAUCACCGUGGAAAAAAACAUUCUUAAUGUCCAACUGAUUAAAAGAUCAGUGACGAAUGAUAACCAUAGAAAGGUUCUUCCAAUCCUACAAGGACAAUGUAUUUUUUCCCCCAAAUCUAUCAGGACAAUGGGUUUCGUAAACCAAUAGAGAUUAUAGUUUUUCUUAAUAUACAAGAGAAAAAUUCAAGAUAUAAUUAGCAACCUACUUAAUUGGACUUCUUUGUCUUCAAAUGGAAGGAAAUGGGCCAACGUAAUGAUGAUCCUAUGCCAUUGUAAUCUCCAUGUCGAAGAGCCAAAAAAGUUAUAUUUCAAGUACUUUUAGUAAUAGUAGUCUCAUCACAAAACAAACAACAAACCUGUAGCAGGGUAAGUUGAUCCAAUAUAGGUGAUAUAAGCUAACAUGAACUCGUUUUCUUCAGUAUAAUAUGUGGGAAGAUUUAUAUGCGAUGAACAACUCCACGAGUCUUGUCUUAAAAAUAAUUGUGCAACAACUAUGUUUAAUAACAAGCUAGUUAUCUAUGAAAAUUCUUUAUUACCACUUAAUUUAUACCUUCAUAAUAACAUUUUAUUUGAGCUACCAAGAUUUGUGAUAAGGAGAAUGUUCAAAGAUUCUUUGUUUUUAUCUCCGUGAGGUCAACUAUAAGAUAGACCAUUCAAGAAAGUUCUUUAGCUACUAGAAAAGUGUAGUGUGCUUCGUUGCACCUGAAAUAUCUGCGAGUAGGUCUAUAUUGUCUUCUCCGUGUGUCCUGUAGGCAGGGGUGAAUCUAGUAAAAUGGGAGUGGGUGCCAUGUUACGCGCACACCUCGGUUGGAAUUGUGUGUGUGUGUGUAUAUAUAUAUAUAUAUAUAUUCUGUCCACAGGGAAUGAGAACGAGCCCAGCCUGCUACACUUCUAUAGAACUAUUUUGUGUUUUACAUUGAAUAAGCUUACAGCUUUACGAGAGAUUAGUCCUCUUUUUUUCUUUUUCUAUUUUGCUUUUUAUUUUCUUUCUUUUUCUUUAUUUGUUGUUGAAUCUUUAUUCCAUAUGAGUUCCCUUUUUUUUUUGUAUAUUACUAAUUCUUUCUUCUGUUUUUUAAGUUCAUAGAGUUUAUUAAGUUUUUGCUUUGAGCAUCUAAAUAUGCAUUUAUAGUAACUUUUAGUUCUAGAUGUCCAUCCUUGUAAUGUUAUAAAUACAUAAUAUAAUUUUGUUGAUAUUUGUAAUAUUAUUGAAUUUCUAUGCUUUGUCCAAAAUUAUCACAACUAUCAAUUUUUUUUGUUCGAUCGACUUGCCUAUAUAAAUAAAAAAGACAGAUAAUCCGAACCAAAGCUCUAAAUAGAUCAAAUCAAAAAACAGUGUGACACCCAAAAUUUCAAAAUCCUGGAUCCGCCUCUGCAUAUAGGUUCAUGAGUUCAAGCUGUGGAAGCAACCACUAAUGCUUGCAUUUUGUUAGGCUGUCCACCUCACUCCCCUUGUGGUGUAGACCUUCCCCGGACCCUGCUAACGUGUGAUGUUUUGUGCACCGGACUGCUAUUUAUGUUGAUAUUUCUUGUUCACCAUUUAAAGAAAUGUAUGCAUAUGUGCCGUUCCCUGAAUACUUAGGUGUGGAGAGUUUUAAUUCUAUGAUUUGAGUUAUAUGACAUGGAGUAUCCGCAUGGUAAAAACAAAUGUUACUUUGGAAGAUUGACAAUAUUAGUAAUCCACAUCGUACUGUCAUCUUAGACCUUUUAAGCCUAACUUACAUGGUGGGAGAUUGAAAGGUUAAUCUUACGUCGUAUCCUCAGGAGGCUCUCUUAUAAAUAUAGUAUCUGAUUGCGUACUCAAGGAAGAUACACGAAAGGCUAUGAACGAGGGGAACUGUCGAACGGCUACAAUUGGAUGUUGGAAACCAAUCACUGGAAAGUAAGCUUUUUUAUUAUUUCCUUUUGUUUCCCUUUCAAGUUUUACUUUUCGACAGUAUUACAUGACUUGCAAGAUGUACUAGGAUAAGUCAGUUUAAGGCAAGUCUGCCGGUAGGAAUUUUUCAUGCAUAUUAUGUUUUUUUUCAUUAGUGUACUACGAUCUUUGCAUUAAUAUUUUAUCUUCUUCUGUUUACUGCUGAAUUUAUGGAUGACUUUUGGUAGUUUUUACAUUAAGUUUCUCGUGUAACUGGUUUCCCCUUGCGCUAUGAAUAUGCAGAUCUUCAAGUACAAGUCCCAAAUCAGUAAGUGAAAGGUGUCAUUUGCAGGAGAGAAAGAAAAAAAAGAAAAGGAAGAUCGAAAACCAAGAAAAGCAUCGUGACUCAAGUAUACAAUCUCAGUUGGAGAUGGAAAAUCGGAGCGCAGUUGCUAAUGCUAAGGAUAUCAAUGAGAGUGCCACAUCAUCACAGAUGCAUACAUUACCGGAUGGACUAACUGUUGAGGUGAUGGUGAAGGGAAAAGUGGAUGGGAAAGUAGCUUCUCCAGGAAAACAGGUGAUUCUAAUUGAAAAUUCAAAUAGAGAUGGUGCAAACGUCAUGCUGCUGAAUGAUCCUUUCUUUUGUCCAGAUCAAAAUUCAUUUCAUUGCCAAAUUAAGAGAUACAGGAUGCACUGUUGGCUCAACCAUUGGUGCAACUCCUCAUCAAUUUUGUCUAGGUCUCUCUCUCUCUACUCUUGCACACAAUCACUGCUCUGCUCCACCAUUAACUUAACUGAUUAUCCCUUUAUAUUCUUAUUUUGAUGUCAUUGAUCAGGUUACGAAAAAGUGUUAAAGGGAUUGAACAUUGGCAUUGAAGGUAAUCAUUUUCGUGGACUGAAACUAUUUUCUUUAUAUCUCAAGCAUUCUAUUAUGGGUGGCUAAGCU